This 48365-nucleotide long non-coding RNA is filed under the name Olea europaea (common olive). Its description in RNAcentral is "long non-coding RNA (OEUR_LNC006790)". The record is from RNAcentral. Lineage: Eukaryota; Viridiplantae; Streptophyta; Magnoliopsida; Lamiales; Oleaceae.
UCUUCUUAGGUCCCUAUCCAUUUUCUUUCCUUUUUCCUUUCCUACAUUUGAUACGGUUCUUUUUACACUUAAAAGGCUGGAGCUUUUGAAGAACUAGACUCAACCACAAAAGCAUAUCCUAGAGAUUUAGCAGUACCAAAUCACUCGUCCUCUAAUUCCACAUUGUGGGUAUCAUCAGCAAAUGUUUUGAUGCUAUCAUUAUAAAUCAAAUUGACUUUCAGAUGCUCUCAAUUAUCAGGAAUAGAGUGGAUCAAAGCUUGAACUUGCUAUUCAUCAUAGAGUAUGUGACAAGUCAACUUUAACUCCCAAAUCAUGUUAGACAUGGUCCUCACAUGUUGUGUGAUCUUGUGGUUAGGAGUUCUUGUAUGUGUCAAAUUUAAUAAUCAGCUAUCUAAGUCUAGUUACACUAGUGCCACCAUAUUUCUCUCUCAGAUAUACCUAAACAAAUGAGCAGUUGAGAACUGUUCACACUUCUGAACGAGAUCAUCCAACAUGGAACUUAGAAAAAUCGCACAAGUAUUGGAAUAUUUUUUCCUUGUUUGGUAAAUUUCUUGAAACCUUCUGUGUUGAGUAGUCUGGCCCAUCCCUAGGUUGUAUUAUGUGGUUAAUACUCUCAAGACAAUCUUAUUUCUCCAACACUUGCCAAAUUUCAUGGUGCUAAAUAUUAUAGUUAUUGUCAUUCAAUUUUUCUCAUUUAUUAAGGUCAGUAAUGAUAUUCUUAAAUGCUAUGGUCUGUCACAAUUUUAGAGACAAUUAUAUGAACAUCCAAUUAUGAACACAUAUCAUUUUGUACUUAUGUAAAUUAAAUUUUAUGAUAAUUUAACACUAGAUAUGGAGUUAAAAGCUCACUAAGUUCCCAACCAUCAUCCAUUAUGUUAAUAUUUCAUCACAAAAAUAAUAAUAACAAUAAAUAAAUAAAUAAAAUUAAUGUCAUAGUGCAAAAAUAUAUAUAUAUGCGAUCAAAUUAAACUUUUGUGUACAACUACAACCCAUGAGAAGAGCAUUCCAUACAUAUUGUUCAGCAAUUUGGUUGUCACUAAGUCACUGCUACAAUUAACUAUACAUAGAUAGGCUGAUCUUCUUAAUAUUCUAAUUUUCUUUCUUCCAUUUCUUCAUAAAAUCCUGAUCAGAUAGCUAUAAGCCAGAUUAAGUGAUUUGUCUAGAAUUUCAACUACAAUAUCAUGCCAAUGAGUAGGAAGUGUUCUCAUUAGAUGAUAUAUUUUCUCAGCCUCACAUAUAUACUUUUCCAAAUGUGUUACUUCAAGACGCAUUGCUUCAAGAUGUUUUAUAUAUGGUAACAUGUUAGGUCGUUAAUCCAUUUCAUAGUUUCGAUAUCUAUGUAACUUUUCAACACGUUCCACAACUCAUUCUUUUCUACUUUUCCCUAUAAGAAUGCUAAAAAUGUACACAGAUCCAGUCAUAUCUGUUAAAAAAAAAAAAAAAAAUUGUACACAGAUCCAGUCAUAUCUGUUAAAAUAUAUAUAUAACAGUGAAUCAUAUAAGCCAAUCAAAACUUACACCACUCAUGAAUGUGGAAAAAUAUGGUAUUUUGAAUACUUUUAAAGUAUUUUUCAAUUUCUAAAAAAUGAGAGCAUCUCAAAAAUUAACUGCCACUAUGAAAAUACUACUUAAUAAAUAUUUUUUAUUUUAUUAAAAAAAUCAGAAUUUAAUCAACUUGGAAAAAAAAAGUAUUUUUACAAAUUUCAUUUAAUCAUUAAAUAAAAAAAAAUUAACUGUCUAAAAAUUAAUUUAAGUGUAUAGAAUAUUUUAGGAAUCAAACUGUAAUUUUUAGAAAUACAAACGAUUCCACAUGAGCCCCCAACGUGCUGAUCAAAGUUUUUAAAUUUUUUAAACUUUUUAAUUAAAAAAAAUAAAAAUAGGGCGCAAUCAGGUACACCUCCGCGUGCAAACAUUCAAAAAACUUGUUUGGCCCAUUUAGUUAAUUUUGAUAAUCUGAAUUCAUGAUUUUACAACAGCAAUAUCUAAAGCCAUGUUUGGAACACCAACAACUUGGUUUGAGGGUGGGAAGGAAUUUUUUUAUGUUUUCUGUUCAUCUUCUAGUGUAGAAUUUUCAAAAAUUCAACCAAACUUCGAUAGACCAUAACUUCUUCAUUUCAAUGCCAAAAGUAAUCAUCUUUGUAUCAUUUGAAAACACAAAACGUAACGUACAGUAAACUUAGGGUUGACCCCGGGCCAAAGUCACUAGGCCACCCUUCUUCAGAAUUUGAACUUCUGCAAUCUUCAAUUUUCAAUUUUCCAAGCUUUUGAAUUCGUAAAGAGGCAAACCAUAAUUUUUCCGUAAAACUGAUUUGAACUUCAAUCAAAUUCCAUUUUUUUCUAUAUGUUAUCCUAUUACCAUCUGCACAAUUAGAGAUACAACCACAUCCUAUAGGUUACUCGGCCUUAGUUUCAAUCUCGAAGUAGCCGUUCAUACCACCCAUGACAAAGGCCUCAUAAUAAUUAGUCGAUUAGAGUCUUAAAAUUUUCAGGAUCGACCUUGAAUAAGCUAUCAUGUUAUGAAAGUUUGGGUUCUUUAACUAGGGUUCCAUUUUUCUUCCUUCCAGAAUACAGAGCUCAACAAUAUGAAACUUUGCAAACAUGUUAUAUAUGUUAACAUGAACAUAUAGUAUAAAUUUAUAGAACAUAUAUGAGGUAUAUCAUAACUUGCCAUGAAAUGUGUUCAAACUUUGAAGGAAAAAUGACAUACAUGCAUUUUCAUCACAUUAAACCAUUUUUUAGCAUGUCACAGAGCAAGAAAACAACCUACUUAGAUGCUGAUAUCAAUGUAAAAAACUACUUAGCAUGCUUCUAAUUGAGUUUGGAGUCUUAGAACUUACUUGAAAUUCCGACGAAUGAAAGGUUGAAUUACUUGCCAUUGGUUUAUUCACUUACUGCUCUUUGGCUAUAGACUCGAUCACGAUGGAAAGAGUUUGAUAUUCACAAUCCAAGAAUCAAUUUUGAGAUGGUAAUCUUGCAAAAUCUAGUCAAUACACUAAGGCCCUAUUUGAUAGACAUUUCUUUUCCAUGAAAAAUGGAAAUUAAAUUUCAUUUCCCACUUUUUAACUUGUUUGAUGGUAGAAUUUUUUUAUGAAAAUGAUUUUCUACAAAUCUUUGCCACAUCAGAUUUUUUUAGCUUUUCCAAGUUUUUGCUUCUUUUUUUUUUUUUUAUGCAAUUGAAACAAAUUCUAGGAACAAUUGUAAACGAGGAUAUCGCUUAAAUUGAAAAUUUUCAUUUAAAACAAAGCCAAACGAAUACCGAAAGGUAGAUGAUUUUUGGAUUUCUUCGGGGUUUUUUUUUUUUUUUUUUUGACGCAAUGGAAAAAAAUUUUAGGAACAAUUGCAAAAGUGGAUUAAAUUGAAAAUUUUCAUUUAAAACAAAGCCAAACGAAUACCGAAAGGUAGAUGAUUUUUGGAUUUCUUCGGGGUUUUUUUUUUUUUUUUUUGACGCAAUGGAAACAAAUUUUAGGAACAAUUGCAAAAGUGGAUUAAAUUGACAAUUUUCAUGAAAAAUAAAAUCAAAUAAACACCAAAAAAUACUUUUAUUUCAACAUUUUUCAGGUGAAAAAUUAAACAAAUCAAACACUAUUAAUUGACAAUUCUCAGUAAAACAAUUUUUAGACAACUUAAUUUCUUGAAAUUUGUUUUAUUUCCACCCAAAUUCCAUAUUUGCAAUCAAACGUACCCUAAUGUAUUUUCACUCCCUUCUCUAUAUCUAAAUUUUGCAUUUUCUUCUUUUAUGGUUUCGGUAUAGUGAGAGUUACAUGGAAGUUAUAGGUGGUGGGAGAUUAAAUUUCAACUCCUCCCUCCAAAUUCAUUCCAGGCAAUUUGGGUCUCGUUAGCCCGUUUCAUACCAACACUUUCCCAAAUAACAAUGGUCUGAAUCCAUAUUCAUACUACUCAAAUGGUAAUUAAACCACCUGAGAUUCAGCUAAGAUGGGCCUGACCAAAUUAAUGGUGGGCAAAUUACACAAAUACACUAAAAAGUAGGGACUUUUUAAAAAAUCAUAAUAAAAAAAGGUUUAGAAUUAACAAAUCGUAUUAAUUAAGUAUUAAGCUAAAAAUUGAUACUUUUAAACUCGCUGCAUGCUAUUCUUCUUCGAAUCUCCUUUCAAGUCCAAUAUUAGUUUUCAAGCAGGUUCUUAAAUUUUGACAAAAUUCAUAAGUUGCCCAUCUAUUUUCCAGUAGUAUAAUAAUUUUUUCUUUAUAAUUUUAAUUAACCAGAUAAUAAGUUUUCAAGUGGAAAUUUUUAGAUUUUCAGUAAUAAUUUCAUCUCCUAUUCAACUUCAUUAUCCAAUCGCUUUACAAGUUUAGUUUUCCAAAUAAUUACCAACACAAACUACUUUACAAAAUCUAUUGCAAUUUUAUUAUGAAUUUGAGAUUUUUGAGGUUUUUGCUUGUGUUAGUAUACAUGAAAGUUCAUCUUUGGAUCAAUGGUGGUUAGUAUAUAAGUAAUUUCAAUUUUGGAUCAAUUAGGGAGAUGUAUGCAACUUAUUUGUGAAAAUUUAAAUAUUAAUAGGAAUUAAGAUUUUGUAUUAGAAAGCGAUAUAUUCAGCCAACUUUUUUAAGGAAGUCGCAUACUAUUUAAUUUGAAUUCUUUUUGGAUUAAUUAAAAAGAUGCAUACAAUUUGUUUGUGAAAAUGUAAAUAUAAUAUGAAUUCAAACUUUGCUUUCCAUUAAAAUUAACAUGAUGUAACAAUUUAUUUGUCUUCCAUAUGAGAAUUUUGCUAUUUGUAACUCCCCUCACAAUGUGUGUGUGUGUGUGUGUGUGUGUGUGUGUGGGGGGGGGGGGGGGGGUUUUUUUUUGGGGGGGGGCCCCCNNNNGGGGGGGUGGGGGGGGGGGGGGGGGGGCUUUUUUAUUGGGCGUGGACUCCUCCCCCUCUUGUGAGGGGCGUGCAACGCCCGUGUACCGGUGUACAUAUAGCAAGGUCUAUGGCCCCAUUUGGUAGGGAUUUUUUGCCCCAAAAAAUUGAUUUUUUGACCGUUAUUUUACUAUUCAAGCCGUAAUUUUUGACUUCUUCUCUCACAUGUGGACCCUACUUUUCUUCUAACGGUCAAAAAAUCAAUUCUCAAAAUCCCUACCAAACGGGCCCUAUAUAUGAUUUAAGGUGCUAGAAUUUUUUGCCGCUUUCUUCUAGUUCUUUUUUUCUUUAAAGAAAGCCACACAUAAUCUAAUUUGAAAUGUAUUAUUAUUUUUGCAAAUUUGGAUAAAAUUAAAGGUGAUUGGUGCAAAAUUCCUUGACUUUUGCCUAUAAUUGUGGAAUAUCUCAUAUCCUUUCAUUUUAGUAGAAAGACCUCCCUAGAUGGUCCAAACCUUGAAACAUCCCUACCAUCCAAUUCCAAUAGGUUAAUAAUGAAAUCCACUUAAAAAGGCCAAAACUAAAAAGAGCUAGUUGCAACUGCAGUCCCAAAUCUUUUAUCUUUCAUAGAUUAUACACAAACUUUUUAUUUGUGUCACCCACAGUCCAAACCUUUAGAAAUUAAUUUUUCAUCCUCUUUCCCAAAUCUCUCACCCCCACGCCACCCAACCCCAACACACCAACUACCAUAAGAAAAUACCACUACCAGCCUCCAAAAAACACCAACAGCUCAAGAAAAAUCUCCAACUAGAAGAAGGGCCCUCAACUGACUAACCUUUGGUCUGACGAUGGUUUGCUGGAGCUAGGGAGACCAUGCCAGACUCGCCAGAGCUUCGCAAUUGCUAGUUCAACGUAGAUUUGAGUUCACAGAGGUAGUUGGAGUGAGAAGCACAACGAAAUUGCUUGUGUUGCUGCGAAAUGUCUAGGGUUUUGCUUUUGAGAGUUUUGAUUUGGGGAAUUUUAUUUUUAUUUUUUUAUUUUUUCUCACUUAUCUCGAAUGCCAGGUUAACUAUAGGAAGAGAAAAUUGUAUAAUUCAUUAGCAGUACGAAUGAUGUAUGCUCGGUCAAAGGUCAUCGGCCCGAUUAACAGCUAAUUUUUUUGUAUGAUGAAGUGGGAGAACAUGGAGUGAGGUGAGUUGGCAAGAAAAAUAAAGUUUGGGCAUGGGUUUGUGGUUGGCAAAAUAUAUAAAAAAAAAUUGAGUAUAAUUUGUGGGAAAAAAAAAAAAACGCUUAGGAAUGAAACUCCAUUUUCUUUUUCUUUUUUAAAUUUUGACAAUUUUUACUAUUUUUAACAAAUAAACUAACAGAAUUGGAUGGUACGAAGGUUUUUUGCACCUAAAAGGUUGUAUUCUGCCCUAGAGGUUUCAAAUAUGGACAUUUUAUGUUAUUUCUAAUAAGUAUGGGAUUUUUUGCGCAUCUAAUGGGUAGAGGAAAGGCAUUUGCCAUGAGAUCAAAGUCUUGGGAAAACGUGGCAGGACGAGAUCGAUUCAUUAACAAGGGAAUGGAGAAGAGAACUUGUCAAGGGAUUGGCAAAACUAAAAAUUGAAAACAAUUUGAAAAUAGCAAAUCAAAUAUAUCAAAAAAUUUCACCAAACUCAUUUUUUUUCAUACAUUCUUCAGAUAAAAUAAAAUAAUACAUAUUUUCUAAAAAAUUACUAUUAUACAACUUAUUCUCCUGUAGAAAUGGCUCAAACAAACAAUAAACACAAACCAAGUCCACUCAAUAGAUUGGUCAGUUUCGAAGCUUUCAUUUAAUGUUAAAACAUAACAAGCAAUGAACUCUCGCCAAAAAACCCACGUACUUUUGAUAUUUCCUUAAUCCGGGAUAGAGAGCCACCUUAGUUCCUUAGAUUUGAAAAAGACGAAAAAUCACAUAAAAAAUGAAUGAAAAUAAUCAGUCAUCCAAAUUAAUAAACAGACCGUUAAACAUUGGCGAAAAAGCAGAAACGAAAGAAUAUAACAAAAUUACAAUAAUAUCUAAAUUUUAUGGGAGCCGCUAUUUUCUUCUACCAUUUUUAUUAUCUGUCCAUUUUUUAAUAUUUAUUUUUUUUAAAAUGAUUAUAUUGACACCACAAUUUUUAUUUAUUGCACCACUUUUUUAUUGUAUUUUUAUUUUUCAAUCUUUGUUCGUCGUAGCAUUUAUAUUCUUAACUUUUAUCUAUCAUAUUCUCAUCUUUAACCUCCCAAUAAUUAACACUUCUUGUCUUUGAUAAUGAUUUUAAUCAAAAAAAAUUAUUUUCAUACUUUAAAAUGGGGGGUUGGAGGGGGGGGGGGGGGGNNNNNNNNNNNNNNNNNNNNNNNNNNNNNNNNNNNNNNNNNNNNNNNNNNNNNNNNNNNNNNNNNNNNNNNNNNNGGGGGGGUUUGUCGCACUUUUAUAUUUAUUUAUUUAUUAAAUUAUGAUCAAAAGUGAGUCAUUUUACGCCUUUCAACGAUUUUUUUUAUUUUUUUAUUUUUGAUAGAAACUAUUAUCAAAAUACAAAAUGUAUUAACCAAUGGAAAAUUGAUGAUAAGAAUGUCACGAAAAGCGUUAGGGAUAUAAGUGCUAAGAUGAAUAAAGAUUGAGAACUUCAAGUGCAAUUAAAAUGAGCAAAAAAUAAAAAGUGUGGUGUAAAUAUAAUUACCCUUUAAAAAAAUUAUAUUUUACAUUCACAACCUUAUUUAAAUUUAGAAUAAAAUCAAAUAAAUUCUAUGACUUUAACCACUAAAUUCUUUGACUUCCCACAAUUUUAUAAACACAAAACAAAUUGUUGAGCAAAAAUUGAAUUGAAAAAUGGAUGCUUUGGUUUACAAUACUGUGAAAAGGAUGAAGUGUAAUUGUUGUGUUGCAUUUUGGUGUGACAACAAGGCCUGGGCAUUGUUUCAUUUGGGUCGGUUUUGAAUCGACUUCAACUCAAAAUCAAAACCAAAAUAGUCAGUUUGUAUGAAUUUCAAUUCAAACCAACCCACUCUAUCUUUUAAAUCGAUUUUUUUCAAUUCAAUUAGUCAAUUUUAGUGGUGGCAAUGGCAUGGCUCGGCUCGGCUCGGCCCUUAACCUCACGCGAGCCGAGCUCGUGGGCCUAGCCGAAUUUUGACUCGUGGGCUCGUCUUUUUUUUUUAAAUAGAGAAAAACACAAAUAAUGUAAUGAAAACACUUUUUAAAAAAAUAAAAAGUGUUAAAAAUAUAUAAAUAAUUUAAUGAAGACACUUUUUAUUUUUUUAUUUAUAUCAUAUUGUAAUAUUUUUUAUAAAGUAUAAAAUAUUUAUAUAAUGAAGAAAUUUUGUUUUUUGAAAUAUAUUUACAAAAAAUAUAUUUUUUUAUUUCUUUUUAAAGUAGAUAAAAUGUAAACCCUCCUCCUUUAUCUGAGGUUGGGACCAGCUACAUCAAUUUUAAGUAAGCGGAAUUAAAAAUUGUACACGAACAAUUUGUUGUAAUUUGUACAAUUUUUUAAAGAAAAUUAAAUUUAACGAUUAAAAAAUAAGGAGAUUUUGAUUAAUAUAAUUAAAUCAAAUAUCACUUACCUGAUGACAAGUAAUUUCAGCGUAUUUAUCUUGUAAUCGAAAAUGAGCGUCAUGUCAAUCCUUCACGCACAUUAACGCUUACAAAACAUCUUCUUUCAGUAGGUUUCUGAUAUCGAUCAAAACCAUUUUACCUACACUAAAAGCAAACUCCGAAGCAACAGUGCUAACUGGAGGUGUCAGCAGAUCUUUCGCAAUUGCAGAAACAAUUGGCCAACGUCUUUCAUACUUUCGUCAAAAUUCAAUUACUUCUUCUGAACUUUUUUUUAAUUGUUCUGUCUUUUGGCAUAUUAUGAUUAAAGUAAUCAAUUAAUUCGGCAGGCAUCGCAUUUUGAAUUUCGAUUGAUGUUUGAUGAAGUGUAAAUGUAGAUGACAUGGCACUAGAUGAACACAUUGCAGUUGCAUCAUAUCUAAAUAUAUUCAUGCCUUGAAAUAAAUUCAUUAUUUCGGCAUCAUCUUCUUCAAUUUCAGCCGAAAAAGUAGGUGCAGAGAGUACCCGACUAACAUUCACAUCCAUUCUUUCCACAUAUAAAUCAUACAUUCCACAUAAUGUUUACUCUAAAUUCUUAUAGGUGAUAAGUGUAUCAAGUAUUAAAACUUUAUUGAUUUGAUCAAUUACGUAUUUAGUUCCCGAAAUAUUAUAUCGGGGGUCCAUUGCGCAUGCUAAAUGAAAUAAAAUAGGUAGUUCUUUCUAAUAUUUUCUAAACUUUAAUUCCAUAACAAUUAUAAUUUCACUAAAAGUAAGAUCAUUUUUAUAUUUAUGGAAUGUUUUUGCAAUUAUAUAAAGGCGUUCAAGCACCAUACAACUUAUGGGAUAAUAAACACCGAAAAAAUUCUUUGCGGUCUCAUAAAAAGAUAUCAAAAAUCGUUUAACUUUCAAAACUAAAACCUAAUCGGAUUCAUUUAACAUACCAUCGUUAUCACUUCUAACGUGUCUAUUGUUAUAAAAGUCAGUUAUUAAAUUUUCAAAACCUUCACAUGACUUUAAUAGCAAGUAAGUAGAGUUCCAUCUAUGGCCUACGUCGCUAAUAAUGUUUUAGCAGUCGUCAACCCUAGCGAAGCACAAAAAUCUUCAAAUGCUUAUUUUCUACUUGAAAAGAUCAUAAUAUAUACUAAUGCAUUCAUAAUCUUUUGAAGUUCAUCAUUUAUAUGUUUUAAGUCAUCUUGCACAAUUAAAUUCAAAAUAUCACACACACAACGAAUAUGAAACAAAUACCCAUCAAAAUCUGGUUAAAGUAUCAUACAUAAUUUAUCGACGACUACCUUAUUAACAUUAGCAUUAUCAAAAGUAAAAAAUCGAAUUUUAGUUUCACAAUUAUAUUUUCUAGUAAUACUAAUAAUAUCAUUAUAUAUAUUAUUAGCAUUAUGAGAAAACUCAAAAAUUCUAAAAGUAAUAAUUUUCUUAUGCAUGCACCAAAGUGGAUCUAUAUAGUGUGCGGUUGCAGCUAUAUAUACUCUUUUAUUAACCCCUUCCCGUAUAUCAGAAGUUAAAGAUAUAACACUCCCAUAUUGUUGCAAAUACAUAAUUAAUUGUUGUUUUGAAUUAUUGAAAUAUUUUAUUGUAUCGGCACGAAAAGUGUUUCGACUUACCCCAACGUACCUUGAUUGCAGAUAUUCUUUCACGAACGAGAUGAAGUGUUGGUUAUCUGCAAUAGCCAGAGGCAACUCAGUGGCAGCAACAAAUUUCACCAUUCCGGUUCGAGUAUUCUCCUCCAAAUACACCCACGUGAAUAGGGGUGAAGUCGUAAAACCGGUGCCUGGACUGUCAAAUUGUAAUUGUGUUUGACAAGUUAGAAAAAGUCCAUGUCUAGCCGCACAUGCUUUGUAGUGACGGUUGAGAUGGGUGGUACCAAUUCCUUUUUACCAUGCCAACUUUUGUUGGCAGUAUUUACAUACUGCUUUAGAUUCUGGAAGGUCAUCUACGACUUUUUUCGUUGAAAUCAACUUAAAGUGAUCCCAAUAUUUUGCUUGUUUUUUGUCCUUUCGCUUUCCCCUCGCAUUUGAGAUGUUUAAUUCGACAUCUUCCUUCUCAUGUUCCGCUUCGGGAACGUUAAUAUCAUCCAAAUCAAUUGGAUUGUGGCUUCCCUGAUCGUGAGUGUGAACAUCUUCAAGUAUGGGUAAGUCAUUUAGACCGAAAAAUUCAUUUAGAAAUUGACUUUGCGGCGUCCUAGGCGAUUCACCAUGGUGUGGCCCACAUUCCGUAUCGAAUAAGCUCUCAACAAAUGAGCGUUGGUCCAUUUGUUUGAUUGUUUAUGAUGAAAUCCAAAUAUAAUAACUAGAAAAAUAUAAAUGUAGUGAGAUUGUGAGAAUUGAGAAUUGGAUGAAUUGAAAUUAUAACUAAUAUAUUGUAAAAAUUGAAUCAAUAUUGUAUAUUUUGCAACACAAUAGAGUAAAAAUUGGAUAAUUGAUAUAAUAAAAGAGAGUUUAAGUAGUGAUUAAGUAAGUGAUAUAAAAAAAAGGGGAGGGGGAGAGCUAAAGGGUAUUUAUAGUAGAAGGGAAAAGAAAAUUUAAAAAAAAAAAUCGGUGACCAAACGGUCACUGAAAAAGUAUCAAAACAAUCUUUUUUUUUUUUUUUUUAAAAAAGUGACCGUUUUGGUCACUAUAAAUAACGAGCCACUUGCCAACGAGCGGCUCGUCUAGCGAGGUCCGCUCAGCUUGCGCUCGGGCUCAUGAUUUUACGAGCCCGAGCCGCCCACUAGCCCUAUUUCGACGAGCCGAGCGGUCGAGCCACCUUUUGACAUCCCUAGUCAGUUUAGACUUUUAAUCCAAAUUGAUUUUUAUUUUUUUUCAAAAAAAAAGUUCAAGUUUUGGGCCCACUAAGAUUACAAUAACUAAAAUAACUAAAUAACUUUAUAUUACAAGAACUAUUGAUUGACAACUAAAAUUAGAUUAUUAAAGACGGAUCAACUAAAAACUUAAGAAUUUUGUUGAUUUUUUAUGUAUUAUGUAGCCUGACUACCUGAGUAGGGAAAAAGACUAGUAUAAAAUAAUGAGCUUGUGAAAGAAAAUUUCUAGUGUUAUUACUUACAGACAAUAUCAUAGAUUAGAGGGAACGAGAUAUAGUUAUAAAAUUAGAACUUAUCUUUUGAUUUUUAUUUUGCUUAAAAAAGGUAAAUAAGUAAAUGGGUUGGAUGGGUUCGGUUAAUGAGCAAUUUGAGGCUUUAAAUCAUGAUUGAAUUGACCAUAGUUUUGUUUAAAAAUAAAAUUAGACCAAACUAUUAUAUGUGUUAAAUCGACCCAAGUCAAUUUAGUUUGAUUGGUUUAAUCGAUUUUCAUUUUUUGCCCAGGCCUAGUGACAACAGUGGAAUAGUUUCCAACAUUUGGUUAACAAUACAGAAAUUUGGAAUUUAGUAUUGUGGAACUUAAAAAACAUUAAAAAAUUUUAAAAAUAUAAGAAUUGUCUUUUAUUGUGGGUUUGAUGAAUUUAAUACGUGAAUGAUUCUUGAUUUGUGUUUGAGGUGAGAAUAAUUCGAGCUUUGUUCUUUGGAUUAUAUUUUAUUUUCUUGAAUUAUAAUAGGUGUUAUGAAAAGAAAUAAAAAGAGAAGAGAAAAUAAAAAUCAAUAAAUUUGUCUGUAUUUUAUUAGAAACUAAAGCCAUAUAUUUAUAGGAAACAAUCCCAACGUGAUAAUUUUUAGGAUUGCAGAAAUACAAUUGUUAUUCACUAAUAAAUUUAUCAUUUACAGUAAUUUCCUUUGAAUAACACACUACAAAAUAUUUGCCUUGUUAAAAUCUUGUUUGAUAAAAAUUCAAUAGGAAAAAAAAUCAAAAGGAGGAAAAAGUGUACAAUUAUAAAUGAUACCUCAUUAAAACCUUACUAAGAAAAUCCAGUGGAAUAAAACCUAAGCGAAGGAAAAAGAGUAUGGAUACUCCUCCAAAUGAUGAUUACUAAAUAUCUUUGAACCAAUCUCAUGAAUUAAUUUCUUGAAUAUAGAUGUUAGUAAUGCUUUUGUGAAUAAAUCAGCCACAUUGUCACUUGAGCGAAUUUAUUGAAUAUCGAUGUCGCUGGUCUUUUGAAGUCGUACAUGAAAGAAUUUUUAAGAAAUAUGCUUCGUUCUAUCACCUUUGAUGUAGCCUCCUUUGAAUUAUGCAAUACAAGCUGCAUUAUUUUCAUACAAAAUUGUUGAAUUAUCUUUUGUUGAAGUUAACUCGCAUGAUGCUAGAAUAUGAUGGGUUGUGAUCAUCAAUCAUACACAUUCUCAGCUUAUUUCAUGGAUUAUAAUAAUUUCAAAAUAAUUUGAGGAUGAUAUGGUCAAUGAUUGUUUCAUAGAUUUUUAUGAUAUAGUUGUUCCUCCACGUUUAAGCACAUAUAUGUUUAUGAUUUAGCUUUACUUAAAUCAGAGAGAUAACCAGUAUCUGCAUAUCUUCCUAAAGUAGAUCCCGAUUUUGAGUAUAAAAUAAUCUCAAAUCAAUAGUAACUUUCAGGUAACGAAAAAUGUGUUUAACAUCAUUCCAAUACCUUUGAGUUAGUGUAGAGUUAUAUCUAACAAGAAGAUUUAUAGAAAAACUGUAUUGGUUGGAGUGCAGUUUGUAAGAUAAGUUAAUGCUCCAACUGCACUUAGGUAUAGUAUUUCAGAACCAAGAACCUUUUCUCCACCUUUAAGUGGACGGAAUGGAUCUUUUUUCACAUCAAAUGAUCGAACAACCAUAGGUGAUACUAAUGGAUGUGCAUUGUUCAUAUAAAAGCGUUUUAAGACUUUUCUGUAUAUGUUGAUUGAUGAACAAAUUAUUCUUCCGCGAAAUGUUCAAUUUGCAACCCGAGAUAAAAUUUGAUUUUUCCUAAAUCAUUCAUUUCAAAUUCAUUUUUCAAAUAAUCUGUAGUUUUGUUGAGCUUUUCAGGAGUUCCGAUUAAAUUUAAAUCAUCAACAUAAACUGUCACAAUCGUAAAUCUAAUAUUAGAUUUCUUCAUGAAAACACAUGAGCAAACAUCGUCAUUUUGAUAACCCUCUUUCAAAAAAUUCGCUAAGACGAUUAUACUACAUGUGUCCGGUAUGUUUUAAUCCAUAUAAUGAUAUUUGCAAUUUAAUUAAGAACAUAGUUCUCGAGUAUGUAUCAUUUGUUCCUAGCAUUUUCGGUCUUUUGGAGGACUCUCUCUCUCUCUCUCUCUCUCUCUCUAUAUAUAUAUAUAUAUCCACUCUUUUGUCGAGUGUACCAACCUUCGAUCUGCGGCAUUCACAUUCAAACAAUCAUUGUCUCGAGUCAAAGGUGACUCAACAAGGCUUCCACCAACAACGUCCUCGUGUGGGCUCUUCAACAUCGCUUCGUCAUUGACUCAAGAGCGCCACCGACUUUUGAAUUGCCUAUCAUCGGUCAUUCCACUCUUCUUUUAAGUAGAUAAGUCAAAAAUCAGAUUAAUCAUACCGUCCUGAGUUGGGGUCUCCUACCAUCCCAUGUUGCUCACACCAACAUGUCUCAAUCUAACAUCACUAGCCAUCCGCUUUAACCAAGCUCACUUCUAUGUCUCCACCAAGGUAAUGUAAAAUUGCUUAUCCUAUCAAGCCAACGAAAUUGGAGUGUGUUGCUUGUGGACGCUCUCUUUACUCACUUGCCUAUUGGUCAAGUAUUAAGCCAGCUGAGGUCUCUGUCGCCAAUCUACACCACAUGCAUCAUUCUCUCCUAUAAUAACUUAGCGCUCAGUACAGUCAGGCUGAGUCGCUUGAUGAACUAUACGAAAUCACGAUAAAGUGAACUCCUUAAGUAUAAAAUAAAGAGAAUAGCAGGCAGUGCACCUUUGCCUUCGGUGUGUGUGCGUGCGUGUGUGGGUGUGGGUGUGUGUGUGUAUCAAGUGAAUCAUACAAAUAGGUAGUUACUAUAUCCACAAGGCGCAUAUCGAGCUUUUGUAACCAUAAAAACCUUGAGCUGGGAAUCUGGUUUUGUAUCUUGUAAUUUUAUUAUUUUUAUUUAUUUUUUGUACAAAAAUCCAUUUAUAUUCUACAUGAAUUACAUUUUUUAGGUGUUCGAAUUACAAGUCCAAAUACCUUUCGUUUCUCUAAGGAAUUCCAUUCCGCCAGCAUGACCUCUUUUCAUUUUGACCAGUCAUUUCUGUUUUGACAAUUUUUAACAAACUAUGGUUCAAGAUUCUCAUUUUGCAUAAUAUCAAGAGCCACGUUAAAAGCAAAAAUUAUUGUCUAUAAUUACAUUACUUCGUUCCUUUAAUUUAUGAGACAACAUAUAAUUUAUUGAAAUCUUAUUAUUUUUUGACACUUGUGAUUUUUCAAGAACCAUAUUUUCAAUAUUUGAUUGAUUAACCUAUUCAUUCUGAUAUUACUAUUUUGAAUUUUUUAGUUAGCUUUUUUUUGUACUUUUCUUUUUCAAGUUACAGAGUAUUUUGAAUCAACCGAUCGAUCAUGCUUCUAGCGUAUUUGAGAUUCAUUUACUACAGAAGAUUGUUCUACAGGGACAUCAUUUUUUGCUGGAGUAUAUGACUUUUCCACUUUUCUUAUCUCAACAAAUAUAUCAGGCAAUUGAUUUGCAACUUUUUGUAAACAAAUGAUUUUUUCAACAUCUUACUCACGUUGAUUGCUGGAUGGAUUAAAUUGAGAUAAAGUCGUUUCAUUCUAAUAAAUUUUAUCUUAUUUUUCAAGAUGUAAUUUUUUCCCUCCCAAAGUUAGAAAACUCAUUUCAUUAAAAUGACAAUAUGCAAAUGUGCAGUAAAUAAAUCACCCAUUUAAGGUUCAAGAUACCUAAAUAUAGAUGAUGAAUCAAAACUUAACCUAAUUAUAGAUGAUGAAUCAAAACUUACAUAAAUCCCAAGUCUAAUUCGGUGACCUAUUUUAGUACAUUGUGAGGGUGAAAUAUGGACUUGGAUAUCACAACCAAAAACUCUUAGGUGAAAAAUAUUAGGUUUAUGACCAAAUACAAGUUAUAAAGGUGAACAUUAAUGAUAUCUAGUUGAUCUUAUAAGAACCAAUGAUGCAACACGUAAUGUGACAUAACCACAAAAGAAGUUUUUUGUUUUCAUAAGUAACAGUCUAACAAUAAGAUGUAGACGUUUAAAAAACGACUCCGUUAAAUCAUUUUGUGUAGGGAUACGUGCAAUUGAAUGUUCAAUAACAAUCCCAAUUAACAAACAAUAAUCAUAAAAUGCUUGUAAUCCAAAUUCACUAACAUUGUUAAGAAGAAUAAUCUUCAUUGAAUAAUUGGGAAAUUGCUCUCAUUAUUUUAUUAUUUUAGCAAGUAGUCUAGCAAAUUUACAUUCCUAGUGGAAAAUAUGCAAACAUGUGAAAAUUUAGUAGAAGAGUAAUUUAAUAUCAUAAAAUAACAAAAUAGUCCACAUAGUUUGUGUAUACCUUUAUAUAUUGUCAUGAAUUCUUUCCAAAAAAGUUGGAAAUUCAAUAUUAACAUUUGUAAUCAAAGGUCUAAUGACUAACUUGCUUUGCGAAUAAGCUACACAUGGAUAAUUAUUAGGUAAAAGAAUAUUCUGGUUCUUUAAAGGAUGCCCAUGUAAGUUAUAUAUUAUUUGACGCAUCAUUACAGCUCCUAGGUUUCUAAAUCAAUCAUGCCAAAGUAUAAAACUUUUUUGGUCAACGAACUUCUAGUUCAUGAAAUAUUUGAUUUAACCAUUUUUAUAAAUAAUACAUGCCAGAUGGGAGUACAUGAAGUUUUUCUUUUAUUUGCUUCUAGCCAGAUACAAAAGAAGUUAUGCAAAAAUAUUCAACAUUAUUUUCUUACAUCAUCUCAAUAUGAUAUUCAUUACAGCAAACAUCUUUAAAACUUAGUAAAUUUCUUUUGAAUUUCCUAGAAUAAAGUACAUUGUCAAUAUAUAAUUUCGUAGUUUUGAUCAAAUAAUACAAGCUCUUCCUGAGCUUUCAAUGAUAUUCGAUGCACACGAUAUCGUAUUAACAUUAUUUUCUGCUAAUGUUAAACUCAAAAAAUAUUUUUUGUUUUGAAAAAUAGCAUGUGUAAUUGUACGAUCAAUUAAAAAGUUGUCUUGAUAAUUCAUCAUGAAUCUUCUCGAAAUUUCGAAAAAUUAUAUUUUACGUGUUGAUAACGUGUUAUAAAAAGAGAGAAAAUAAAAGUCAAUAGACUUGUGUAUUUUGUUAAGAUUCAAAGUCCUGCAUUUAUAGAAAAGAAUCAUGGAUACAAAGAUAAUAAUUUCUAGGAUUGUAGGGAUACAAUUGUCAAUCAUUAAAAAAUUUACCAUUUACAACAAUAGGAUAAAUUUAGAGUAUUUAAAUGAAUGACUUUAAUAAGGUUAAUGUUAGAAUACAACGUAGAUGAAUAUAAUAUAUUUUUUUUAUAAAAUUUAAAAAUUCAAUAGGGAUGAAUUUCAAGUAAAAUAAAUAAUAUAAAAAUCAUUGAUGAAAAUAGCGAUUCCCAUUUUUAUUUGAUUUAAUUCUUAUCCAUUUAAGUAGAUUUUGCAUUUAAACUUAUCAAUCUUUUCUCAUUGUAGCAAUUAUUUUUUAACUUUUUUUUAUUGAAUUUUUAUUUUUAACUUUCUAUUAGUUAGUACCGUUUAUUCCUCGCUGAUGAUUUAUUUCAAAAUAUUUUAUUUUCAUGUUUCGAAUUGAGAAAAAUAUAUUUUUUGCAUUAUUUAUUUAUUUAUUUUCUUAAAAUAUGAUGAAAAAUAAGUUGUUUUAUACUAUUUUAACGAACUUUUGGAAAAAAUUAUUAUCAAAUAUAAAUGUGUUAACUAAUGAAAGUUUGAGAAUAAGAACGACUUGAAAAAUAUUUAAGAAUAUAAGUGCUGUAAUUAACAAAGAUUAAGAAUUAUAAUAUGAUGCAAUAAAUAAAGUUUGUGGUGUAAAUAUAAUUAGCUAAAGAAUAUACGUAUGUACAAGAAGUCUCCCAAAGAAAUAUUCCUAAUUUGCUUCGAAUUGAGUCAAUUGUUUCCUUUUUCCAGUUCCUGUUACCAUAUCUCGUCGAUUCAAAAUCAGCCUGCAGUUGGGAGUCUUUGCCCGCUUAUAUAUCGUCCUCCCCAAUACCCUUUCACAAAUCCACACCUGAAUCUCUAUUUCUUGGUCUUUAACUAAUCUCUUAUUCUUGUGGUGUUCCGAUUCCCCACCGAUUUUCUCCGCUUCGAUUCGGUAAUCUGACUGACAUGGGCGACAGCCAGAAUUAUAGGGGGAAAGAUCCGUUCCUACGGGAUUACAGCGCCGAAGAACUUCGAAUUGCUUCCGAGUUCUUGUCCAAUUGGCUGCCGCAUCUCUCCCGUGGACUCUGCAAGAGCUGCACUGAAACUCUUUCCGAUCGAAUCCGAUCUCUCAAUCCAGGUACAAAAACCAUCCCUUUAUAACUGCUGUAUACUUAUGUAAGUGUAAUUAUGUCCGAUGUAUCUAUUUCUGUUCUUAUGGACUAUAAUAAUAUGGAGAAUUUUCAAUUUAGCAUUAGAUUUUUUAUUCCCCUUUUCGAAAUCUUGACUCCUUAGUGAAAUCUCUUCUUUGCAUUUGUGUCUGAGUUUAAUUGGAGUAUUUGAUCCCCUAGAAUGUUUCUUUUCCUUAAAAUUUUUGUGGGUUUUCUAUUUCAGUCUGAACGGAGGCUAUUCUAAAUGUUUAAUUAAAUUUUGUUUACAGUGGUUACGAAAAAUAGGGGAUCUUUUCAAAACUAUGAAUUUACGUUAACUGAAUUUGGAAAAUAGAAUGGUUUUAUAUACGUUAUAUUAUGCCGCCUUUAAGGAUUUAGUUUUUCUUAUUUUUUUGAAAUUCUUGCGUGUUAUUCAUUUGGGUUUUCCUUUGGCUUUUGUAGAAAUCGAUGGUGAAUUAAGAUCUGGUAAAAAGGAAAAGAAAUUUUCUGUUUCGGCUAUCAUGGAUCUGAGUAGAAGUAAAGAAGAUUGUGAUCGUUCAGUUGGGAGUUGGAAAGAUACUAUGGAUCAUUAUGAUAACACAGAUACACAUUCAUUGGGCAGCUGGAAAGAUGAGGCUGAUGGGUCGGAGCCAGCUGCCGAUGCAUCAUCAAAUAGUGAAACAUCUACCUUAUUGAGACCUUUUGCAAGCUCGAAGGUGAAAAUGUCUUGGGCUGACAUGGCUCAAGAGGAUGAGCUUGACAUGGACGAAGACAAUGGGAGUAGUACGUCUGUCAGUGUGCAAGAGGGAACAACAUUGGAGGAUGCUAAGCCAAAGCCAGGGCUGUCAAGGGAGCAAAGAGAAUACAUUCGUUUCUGUAAUGUGAGGAGAGAGAAAAAUUUUAUAUCUUUCGAAAGAGUUAAUGGGAAAUUCGUGAACAUUCUAGACGGCCUGGAGUUACAUACAGGCGUCUUCAGUGCUGCUGAACAAAACCGGAUUGUUAAGUAUGUUGAGAAGCUUCGAGAGAUGGGGAGCAAUGGGAAGCUGAAAGGUGAGUUACUGAUAAACUACACGUUUUUUCAUCUUCAUUAAUUUUGGAUAUAUCUUUCCCUCUAGUUAUCACAAUAUGAAUAAUGACUUCUGGACUAUUUUGCCUUCUGGAUACUGUCAAACUGUUUGCUAUCAUUCUCUGCUUUAUUAAUUUCUGGUCAAUCUCACUCUCACAUGCAAUCAACCUUUGGGUUUUAGGGAGGCUUUUUAGUUCACAGACAUGCACAGUUAGGAAGUUGUUUGAUUUUUUUGAUCAGAAUGAGCUGUUAAACUAAAUUACUUUAGAGAGCAGGAUCAAUAUUUAACAUCUUUUUAUGAGAAAGGAGCUUAAAUCGCAUUCUAGUGGUUUCAGGAUACAUUUGAAUCACUGUGCCUAGUUUGCAAAUAUGCAACUUUCCUUCUUGUGGUUCUUAAUACUCGUGCAAUCACCAUGGGUUCUAUGGUGUCAAUGUACUUUGCACUCUUGUAUUCCACAUGGUUACAUGCUGCUCUUUACUACAUUAAGAAUAUAAUGGUUAUUUAUGGCAAUUUGUGUAUGAUUUGGAUGGCCCUGAUCUUCAUAUUUAAUUUCAUUGCUUUAUUAUAUAUAUAUCUCUGUGUGUGCGCGCGCUUACCUGUCUAUGGUUUAAUUUCAGAGCGCACCUACUCUGCGCCACAGAAGUGGAUGAGGGGGAAGGGACGCAUCACUCUUCAGUUUGGUUGCUGUUACAAUUAUGCUAUUGUAAGUUUCUCUUUUCAUCGUAGUUUGGACAUAGAACUUUCACUUGUUCAAUGUUCACCACAUCAUUAUUAGUAGAAAUGUGAAGAUAUCAAUAGCCUUAAGUUCAAUUUUUUUUAAUGGCAGGAUAAAAAAGGCAAUCCACCAGGCAUUCUCAAGAACGAAAUUGUUGAUCCUUUACCUCAUCUAUUUAAAGUUAUGAUCAAAAGGCUCGUUACGUGGCAUGUUCUCCCUCCAUCAUGUAUUCCCAAUAGCUGUAUCGUCAACAUUUAUGAAGAGGGAGACUGUAUACCACCUCACAUUGAUAAUCAUGAUUUCGUUCGACCCUUUUGUACCGUCUCUUUCCUUAGCGAGUGUGAAAUACUUUUUGGAUCAAACUUGAAAAUAGUGGGUCCUGGUGAAUUCGCUGGUUCUUUUGCAAUUCCUCUGCCAGUUGGGUGAGUAUUUAGGACUUAUUCUUAUUAGAUAAACAUGAAAAUUCAUGUUUUUUGUUUCUACCCGAGAAAUCAUCUUCUUAUGAAUUAUUAACUUGUUGCCAAAUCUUUUGCCAGAUCUGUUCUUGUCUUAAAGGGAAAUGGAGCUGACGUGGCUAAGCACUGUGUGCCUGCUGUUCCUAUGAGAAGGUACAAAUCCAACUAAGUUAUGUUCUUCAUACUUUCCUCAGUUGCGUUUCUGCAUAAUAUGCUGAUUCUUGAAUAUUUUAUGGCCAGGAUAUCAAUUACCUUUAGGAAAAUGGACGAAUUUAAACAGCCGAUUGGAUAUGUCCCUGAAUCUGAGCUGCAAGGGCUUCAGCCAUUGCCUUACGAAGUGGACACUUCAAAGAAUUACAAUCCUUCUAAACAGAUGUAUUUUUAUAAAAACCAAGCAUCUGGAAGAGAUGAGAAAACAGAGAGAGGAAGGGGAUCAACCGGAAGGUACUCGAAUGCCCAUUAUUCAGGUCGAAGCAGACAAGGUCCUGUAAACAGGCCAAUGGGACGGGUUAAUUUGGAAAAGUGAAUUUAGUACGAUAAUAAAAAGCUCGGGAAAAUUGUAGACAUAUACAUAUUCUUCUAUGAUUUAAGGCCUUUCAGUCUUUUAGGACUAGGAGUAGGAUUUUGGGUCAGUACAUUAUACUUGUGUGCCAUUUUAGGGAUAUUCAUCGCGUUCUGAGAGUUAUAAUUCUACGCGAAAACAAUAAGUAGCUGGGUUUAUGCUUUUUACUUCUUUGACAAAUCGGCGUGUAUAUUGUAUUUGAGUUUCGAACUGAAUUUGUUUUGGUUUGUGAGUGAGUUGAACUUAAAUUUUAUUUCUAUGAAAUAAUGCUCUAUUUUCUUGGUUAUCCACUUUAUUCCAGGAUUCUGCUACAUUUGUUUGCUGCUAUUCAUCAUGCAGUAUAUUGAAAUGUCGAAGAUUUACUUCGAUUCUUGGUUUACUUUAAGUCUUGGUUUAUGGAGAAUACUCUACCGCUUUUAAUUGAUUGAUUUAUUUUUUAUUGGAAUGUUUGAAAUAUAAUCGCUUAACGCAAUCAAUAAUUCAUAGUGUAAGUUUUUCCGUUUGGAUUUCCCUAAACAUAGUGUAAGUUUUUUUCAUUUGGAUUUCUCCCCCUUCCACGACGCAAUGAGAAUGAGUGGGAUGACUAUAUUUUUAGGAGCCAACUACAGGAAAAUAUGAAGCAUACGAAUAAUGCAAGUAAUGCCUUGAAAUGAAACGAAAUGAAAAUUUAGAAUUCACGAGAGAAUGGUGUUACACCUUGCGAUCGCAUUGUUCAACUCAUCAGUAAAUAUUCUAUUUCCUUCUUCGAUUAAAUGUUUUUAAGGAUAGCAAGUCUAUCACAUUUUUAACUGUAGAUUAUUUCUUAGAUUUUUGGAUAAAGAAGGUGCAAAAGGAAUCAUUAAGAAGAAUCGAAAAUAUUCAAGAAAUCGAGACUUUUCUUCUUUUUCUUCCUACAUUUAGAAUCCGGGUGAUGUCUCAUAAUUCAAACAUGAAUUCUUGAAACUUUAUGAUGCUUAGCUAAAUUUUUAGUGACUAGGACGCGGAUGGAUCCUUUGUUAUGAAAUUUUAAUGACUUUCAAGACUUUGACUUUUAAUACUCCUUUAUCUUGGAUGCUAGUUAUAGUUUUUAAUGUUCUUCAAUUAAAUAGCUACAACUGAAUAUGUGUAAUCUUUAUUUUAUUCAAGAGAAAGAAUAAGAAAUAUUGUACAUUAUAAGGGUAAUUGGCACAAAACGUCCCUAUCUUUCAAGAUUUUUGUGAAAAACGUCUUUACGUUUCAUUUUUUGGCAAUUUCACCCCCACCUUUGCCAUUUGUUGCGCAAAACAUCCCUGAAUCCACUCCUCGUUAAAGUGCACCGUUAAAUCAAAGAAAAUAAGUUUUUUUAUUUUCAAAAGGCAAGGGUAAGAUUGUCCAAACACAUUUGUUCUUUAUUGAGGCUUCAUUCCCGCCUUCUUCAAAUGUUAUGCGUAACUAAAAAGUAAUAUGAAAAUAAAUAAAAUAAUUUGUAAAGAAAUAUUUCACUCAAUACAUAAGGAUUUUUUAGUUCUAGAAGUUCUCAAUCUCCAUACCAAGUUUUUUAAAUAAGGCUGUGACGACUUUUUUAAUAAAAUAUUUAAGCACCUAUUAGUCAAUACUUUUGAAAAGUAAAGAAUUAUUAUAAUUUUUUUGGAAAUAUUUUGUCCAAAAAGAUUAGACGAAGUUGUUCAAACGAAAAUUUUCUAAUGAUAACAUCCUCUAGUAAUUCUUCUAUAAGAAGUAUACUCCCUUUGUCUCAUUUAUAUAAACUGAUUUUUUUUUUUACACGAAUUAAAAAAUCUUAUUUAAUGUCAUUGAACAAGUAAUUUCUGUCAAAUACAUAUCUAGUCUAUCCUUAUUUAUAUUUGUACAACUUUAAGAUUUAAGUGAGAAAAUUUGAUUAUAACUAUGCAUAUUAAAUAAAUGUAUUUUAAUAAAUAAACAAAACAAAACACUCUCAAUAAAGAAAUAAAACUAUAUAAUUGAGAUAAAAAUAUUAAUAAUAAGAAAAAUUAACGUAUAUAAAUGAGACGGGAGAGUACAUAAAUUGUACCAAAAAGCCGCUAACUACUUGUACAACAAGAUUGAAAAGUUAAAAAGCUAAAAUCCUUUAUUUUAAAAUUUGGAAAAUAUAUAAUGAACUGUCUGAUUGAUGAGACGUGGGAAGAAUAAAUUACCACUAAAGUUAAAUUUGAGUCGUUUUAUGCACUAUAUGGCUACAAUUCUUGACCAAAUCUAAAUCAAAUAUAAAUAAUACAAUAAUAUGGGAAAGAUCAAGUUAACACCCUAUUUGGAUUUUAUUUAAUUAUUGUAUUUCCUUUAAAAAUUAAUACGAACGGACUAAAAGCAACGGACUUUGUCUAUACCGGAGUUUGAUCGGUCAAGUUAUUGAAUCUACCACAAACAUAUUAUUGAAUGAAAUAUCCUAACUGUAUGUAUGAAUGAAAAUGCGCAAAAGACAAUGCGCAUUUUCGCAAAACAAUGUAAAUGUAUGAAUGUUUUGCGCAAAGACAAUAUAAAGAUAUGGAUUGUUAUCACAAGUUCAACUUCACAUUAAAUUGGGAAGAAGACUCGUUUUUCUUCCUCAUCUUCUCCAUUUCUAUGUAUUGUCUAUUCACAUAAUCACAUUUUAAUUAAUCUUCUCACUUUAACAUUUAUUUACACCCUUUGUAAGCACAAAAUGGGGAUGAACAUUUCAAUUUUAUCGACCACAUAUCCAUUGUUUUCAUAUACGUUGCCAAAAUUUUUUUAGCAAUCAAGCAUUACAGUAGCCAUGAUGAAGUUCAACCAUAAAUAUAAUGCUUUCUAUCGUUUUUCCUUAUGUAUUGAGUGAAAUAUUUCUUUACAAAUUAUUUUAUUUAUUUUCAUAUUACUUUUUAGUUACGCAUAACAUUUGAAGAAGGCAGGAAUGAAGCCUCAAUGAAGAACAAAUGUGUUUGGACAAUCUUAUCCUUGCCUUUUGAAAAUAAAAAACUCAUUUUUUUUAUUUAACGAUGCAUUGUAACGGGGAGUGGAUAUAAGGAUGUUUUGCGCAAUAAAAGGCAAAGGUGGUGUAAAAUUGCCAAAAAAUGAAAGGUAUGGACGUUUUUCACAAAAAUUUUGAAAGGUAGGGACGUUUUGUGCAACUUACCCUACAUUAUAGCAUUCAUUGUAGCAUGAUGGCAACGGGUCGUGUAUAGGGCAAGUCGGUCAUUCCCUUCCUCAUAUGACGGGUAUUUUGUUAUCUUGCCUUCUUCCCAUAUCCGGUCAAAGCAAGGUCAAUUAUUUAUUUAUUUUUGUUUUUAUUUUACUUAUAUCUUUAGUUAGUUUAUAUUACUACAUUUUCCUCCAAUUUGUUAAGAACAACUUAUGUUCUCUUUAAAAAUAAUAAUAAAUCUUUUCUUUUUGUUUGAUAAAAACUUAAAUUUGAAAUUAACUUAAAAUGGGGCGGAUAGUGGGACGACGACCAUGUUUUUCGUACUAGCUUCGAGGCAAUGACUCCCAUUCCGUUUAUUUGAUUAGGCAAGUAAUCCUUACAAGUAUUGGGUUGAACAGUGCCAUUACUAUACUGUAUGGUCCGAUAGGAGGUGAAGAUAUGCCACUAUGUCUUACAUGAUUUAAUUGGAUAUUUUUAUGUUUCUAUACUUUGUUUCAUAUUUGUAUCUUUUAUAGAGACAUAAGAAGGUUAUAUGUGAGGAUAUAUUUAAUUCUACUUGAGAGAAAUUAUUGUAAGAUUGAGGUUCAGUCCUAUAAUGAUCUAGUACCCGAUUUUUCGGGUAUUUAGUAAAUGAAAUUGUUGGUCCAAAUUUAAUUAUGGAAUCGUUUAGACUCGAUUAUGUUCCGUUUGGUUACUGGAUUCUAUAUAAUAAUUAAAUAUUUUAAUAUUACAACAAUGCUACAUUAAUUCAAUUAAUAAUAUGUUCAAUCUUAGAUCUUACAAAACAACAUAGUCCAAUCUUUUGUAUCUUUUGUACGUUUUGUUGAGUUCUUCGUAAAUUUAAUUGUUAAAAUCACGAGAAGGGAAAAAAGGUCAGCUUACAAUAAUAAAGAGGUGCAUAGUCGAGCUUUCAAUUCGAUUUCUCCAUAACUGUAUGAACAACACUACAGUAGAAUUAUAGAUUUAGGUAAAACUUAGGUCAGUUUGAUUAAAUUGGGUUUAUAUCGAAAAUUAGAAAUAGAAAAAUUAUAUUUUGAGUUUUUGCUAAAUUAAUGAAUUAACAAAUUUAUAACAAAUUUAUUUAGAAUGUAAAUAAAUUUAGACAAUUGGGAGAUUAGAUUAUUUGAUUCUUGGUUUAAAAUAGAGAACCGAAAAAAAAUUGUUGGUUCUUGAUUCAGAUACUCGUUUGAGUAUUUAAAUUAAAAAGAACCGCUCAAUUCAAUUCAGGUCAGGUCCGAUUCGAUUCGAGAGUUUUGUCCAACCCUAUAUUAUUCAACAAAAUAGGAAUAAUAAUCAACAAAAUUGAGAACGAGUUGUCUAAUCUUGAGUUGUGUUAAAACGGAUUAAUAAAUAGGGAUUCUUGGUGUUUGCUUUUAAUUGACUUUGCAAUUUCUUCUUAGUGCUCAUUAGAUUAGUUUUAGAUAAUUAGUUGUAAAAUCAAUAAAUUACAAUUUGACUAUUUAAUUAGAGUAAACAAUAUUUUAGAACUAAGUGAAGUACUUGGAAUUAUUUUUAGAUGAUUAGUUAUAAAAUCAUUCACGCUUCAUUAUUUUUGAGUGUUGUGAUUGCUUGCAUGUUAGCGUUUUCCCAUAUACAUAUAUAAAAAGAAAAAAAAAAUAAGUAAAUUGAAAUUUUCAAAAAUACAUAUAUAUAUUUUUUAUUGUAUACUUGUGUGAAUUGGAUAGCCAUAUUCGUUAAUGAUGAUAUUAUUGGAAUUACUAGUGCUUCAUGAAUUGUUACUAAGUAAUGUAACUUGGACUAUUUUGAAAUGUAUUUUUUUUUUAAUACUCUUCUUUGAGUACGAUAGUCAUCUUAAUCAUCGUUUAUCUUUGAAGAUGUUAUUUUAUUAGAAUAAGUUCAAUGAGCUUAAAUAUAGAUUGUUGAAAUUGAAAUCACACUAUACAACACAAUUCUUAAACCAUUUGAAAGAAUAUUUUGGGGGUUAUUAGAAAAUCUGCAAAAGACUCUCUAUUUAUUGAGAGCAUAUUAUAUAUAAUAGAGAGCAUCUUUAAAUUUAGAGCAUGUUUGGGGUUCAUUAUUGGUCCAAAAAAAUGAAAAAUCUUACCGUUGGAGCACAUAAAUCCAAGGCAUUAUGAGAGUGAAGUCAAAAGGUGGGGCCCUUCAACGGUAAAAAUUCUUCUAAUAAUGCAGAAAUAAUGUGCAUCAAACAGCCUCUUAGAGAGUAAUUUUUUUAUACGUUCUAACAAGCUCUUUAUUUUGAUUCUUUAUUUUGUUUUUUCCAAUGAAUAUUUAAUAAUUUCUCCAUAUAUUUUAUUUAAGUAAAUUUUUUUUAUAUAUUAAUGAGCAAUUAAUUAAAAUGUAAUUUAAAAUUUUUAAAUUGUAUAGUAUUGAAAUUUGUAAUGUAUUAAAUGGAAUCAUUGUAUAUUCUUAUUAAGAAUAGAGAGUGAGUUUGACUCUCUAAAUUUGGAGAGUCAAAUACUCACAUUAUUUUAAAAAGUUAAAAUAAUGAGUCACUUGGAAUUUAUUUUUAAGUAUUAACUCACUAAAAUAGAGAGUAUUUUAUAUUUAAAGAGUUUCUUUGAGUGCUCUUAAGCGAGUAUUUGCAGCUACUUAAACAGGCGUUGCUUCAUUGAUUCCAUGCAUAAAAACAAUUGUGUAAAGUGUUUUUUGCUAACAAGUGGAACCAAGGUAGAAAUUAUUCAUGAGAAGUCUAAUCCCAAUUAUUUGUCCCAACAAAGGUAUUGCACUAAAUCACACAUAAUUCAAAGCACACGAUUUUUUAGUUGAAUGACAUUGCAUGCAUAAAGAAGUUGGCAUAAGAAUUAUACGACGUAAUUUCGAUUAAUUUAACAACACCACAUACAACUCAUAUUUUUCUCGAGAGCUCUAAACGUUUCUCUAAUUGAUUAUCAGUAUCACAAAAAUACAAUUGCAAGUAGGAAGGACGAUCAUCUAAAGGCAACAACCCAUUUAUGCAAUGAUAAGCUUUUCCUUGCACUCUAACUAUAUUAAUGCAUUUUCACUUGUCUAGAAGAAAUUUAUGGUAAUAUGUCUCGCACACUAUAUGUAUAAAUGCAUUUUCAAGUAUACAUAGAAAUUAUUGUCAAUAUUUCUGCAAGAUAUAUGAAAACGAGCGCAGUAGCCACACUACUAAUUAAAAAAUAAAAAAUAAAAUAAAAUCCCUUCUUCUAUGGAUAGAAAUUGUCAUGAACGAUCAGCAAUGCAGUUGAAGAAAUCAAGAUGGAAAUGGAAAUGGAAAUUUUAGCACCGGUAGCAAUUUCUGCUGGAGAAAUCUCUGCCAUCAAUUGGAUAGUUAAAAACGGGGUUUUUAGGGAUGGGAAUGGUGUCAUUAUCAUUGGAGACACUUGUUCGUUUCAGUGGGAGAAGUAAGUAAGUAGCUAUGUUGGGAGUAUCAUGAGUAUUAUCAAAAUUAUUGAUUUUAUUGAUUUUUUAUUUUUUAAUUAAUGACAAACAUUUUUCAACUGUGAUUUUCCUCAAGUUUACCCUCAGCGAUAGGACCAAUAUUUGGCCUCCGUUUGAUCCCAACAUUCAUUUAAGACCUAAUUUUACACAUAAAUUUCAAAAAAAUUCAACUUUUUAAUUAGAUAUUAUUUAAAAAAUUACCAUUACAAAAUCUAUGGGUUAAAUCCAUUGAUGGCCUCCAACUUUAUAUUUAGGGUGUGUUUUAUUGCAAGCAUGUAAUUUACAUGAAAAAAAAUAAUUUUUAGACAAUUAUUUGCAUGAAAAUGGUCAAUUACAUGUGUUUAAUUGAUUUUAUUUUCAAUUUAGAAGAUAUUAUAUUUGUUCACUUUUUAUUGGUAGGUAAAUGGUAGAGAAAGGGAGUAGAUGAAAGAGAAAAGAGAGUGAAUUAUCUUGAAAAUAAAAACCUAAUCCCGUAUACAAACUAUUUUUCUUGUUUUCAAGGAAAAUAUUGUCACGUAAUCAAAAGUAAGAAAAUAUUUUUAUGGAAAUAGAUGUCAAUCAAACAGUAAAAAAGUAAAAAAUUUGGAUGAAAAAUAUUGACAAUCAAAUGCACUAUUAAUAUCACCAUGGUCAUUCAAUUUGAUUUUAUUUCACCAUUGUCACCCAAUUUCUUAACCACUUUCACUAAUUUUAAAAGGGGUAAAAUGGUAACUUUGAAUAUAUAUCAAAUAAAUUUUAAAAAAAUAAAACUUAUUUUAAAAAAUGAAAUAAAAUAAAAAAUUGUUUAAAAAAAUGUUACUAAAAAAAUAAAAUUAAAUAAAAACUAUCUUAUUUUAAAAGAAAAAUUACUCAAAAAAAUAAAAAUAAAAAGUCAUUUAAAAAAAGUUCCUUAAAAAAUAAUAUAAAAUAAAAACUUAUUUAAAAAAUAUUUUUAAAAUAAUUGAUUAGAAAAAUAGAAUAAAAUAAAGCAAAAAGUUAUUUUUUUUUAAAAAAACUCUUAAAAUAAAAAAAAUUAAAAAAAAUUAAUUUUAUAUAUUUAAUGCAAAGUUAUCAUUUUAUCCUGUUAAAUUUAGUGAUCAUUUGAAUAGUUAUGGUUAAAUAAAAUCAAACUAAGUUGUCAUGAUGACCUUAAGUAUAAAAUUGAAUACUCAUUUUAAUUUGAAAAAAUGGGGGUCAAAUGGGGGUUCAUUUUUUUUAUUUUAUUUUUUCCAUUGAUUAUGUUUAUUUCCACUCAUCUCUCUCUCUCUCUCUCAUUGUUUAUCUCCAUUUUCAAUAAAAAAAAAAAUGGAUUCUUAUAACCAUUUUUUUCUUUUUUUCAAUCAUUAUUUUUUUUGGUGAAAAAAAAUCUAUUUUUUUAUUAAAUUGUAAAAUUUUAUAUGAAAUAUUUGUAAUUAAAUUUAAAUAAAUUGAUUUCUAUUUACUUUUAAAAGUAUGUUAUAUUAAUAAUGUUGAAUAUUCAAUUUAUUGUUUAUCAUAUAUAUGUAUAAUUUUAAUUAUUAUUUAUUUAAUUAAGAUCUUAAAUUUUUAUUUUUUUUUUAAAAAAUUUAUUAUACGAGGGGAAGGGAAAGGAAAAUUGUGGAAACUACCCCUUGUAUGUGAAAAUUUCACAUUAUUGUACUGGAUCCACGUAAAUUCUACUUCAAAUAAAGUUUUUAAAAAGUCUUUUGAACUCUACAAAAGUCUAUAAACGUUUUAAAAUGAAAGUCAAUAAAAGUCUACGAAAGAUUUCAACUAAUUCUAUAUAAGUGCUUGUUUGGUAGAGAUUUUGUUAAUUGAUUUUUUGACCAUUAAAGAUAAAGUGGAUACUACCUGUGAGAGAAAAAUUCAAAAAUGAUGGCUGAAAUAGUGAAAUAACAGUCAAAAAAUUGAUUUUAAUUUGAUUUUAAGCUGUACCAAACAUGCUCUAAAUCUAUGAAAAUCCAAGAAAUUAUAGAAGUUAACACUUAAAAAAGUUUAUCAAAAUCUUCAAAAGUUCUAGUUGAAUACACCUCUAACUUCCAUGUAAGUUAAAAAAGAAAAAAUCACCAAAAUCAUAAGAAUUCAAUUUUCGUGGAAUUGGUCAAAAAUAUGCUUUAAGAGCGUGUUUGAUUAGCAUGAAAAAUAUUAUUUAGAAAAGAAAAUAUAUUCCUUAUUUUGAAGAAAAUAAAAAUCACAGCCACUCAAGGAAAAUAUUUUCCUUAAAAACAAAGAAAAUUGGGCAUAUUUUCAAAAGUUGAAAAUUGUUUUUCAUGAAAAAAAAUAGCAAUCAAACACUCCAAGUAGGAAUUUGAGUGAAAAACUGAUUAUUUUCAUAGAAAAUAAAUGUAAUCAAACGCACCCUAAAUGUUUGUACCUUGAAAUUCAAACAUCAUUUUCACUUUCGAAUCAAACGGCCCAAAUAAGAAACGAAUUCCAAAUGGACGCUAAAAUAUAUUCUUUAGAUGUGUUUUUCCCUAUAUACGCACGGGGGAUUUGAUAAAAAAAGCUUAAUCUAACAAUGAUAUUGGUAAAAUAACAUUUCUUCAAUAUUUUUUGGUCAAAUGGUCUUCACUUACAAAAUAUAAUAAACAAAUAAUGUCAAAUAUCUAAAAUGCCCUUACCAUAAAAAAUAUCCAAAUGCCCAUUUCAAUCCAAUUAAAUCCCUCAAUUCAUCUACAAAACACAUCAAUGUGCUUUCCCGAUAGUUUUUUCCCUAAAAUCUUGUUAUUCAUUGUAUUCUUCUUCUAUCUUCUCCAAUAUUGUGAGCAUUUGAACAAGAAUUUUGGUAUCCAUAUUAUCUAUAUUAAAAUCUUUACUAUAUUUAAAGCAAAAAGAAAGGCAUUUUUAGAAAUCUCACUUACAUUGGUACUUUUAUUGUUGAAUAUAGUAUAAAACGAUAUUUUAAUUUAUUUUAUUUUCUCAUUUGGUGUAUAUUUGUACCUUUCGCAAUUAUUGGACGAUAACAACACUUUAGUCAUUAUUUGUAGUGUGGCAUGACACUACAGUCGUUAUCCUCAAUGUAAAAUGACAGUACAAUUGUAAUCUGUUAUGAUCUGUCUGUUAUUGAUAAUAUAUUGUGAUUACUUUAAUAAUUUAAAUAUGGUAACUAUUUUCAUAUUAUUUUAAUAUAUACUUGAAUCGAUGAGUCAUAACGAAAGAUAUUUAUUUUUUGUUAUAACAAAAUAUCACUGGUGCCAUUUUUAGUAUUUUACCUAGAAAAUAUAGAAAUGAUGUUCAAAAAUUAAAUAUUAUUGAUCUAAUAACAAUUUAUUUUUAAAUUUACAAGUUAUCAAAUCGUGUUUACAUAAGUAAUGAUACUUGUGUUGUUUUUAUAAUAGUAACAACACUAGUAUUGUUCUCAUUUUUCAUGUUGUCCAAACAAUGAGAGUAUCUCUCAAAUUAUGUGAGCGGCAUGUACGUUUUGCGACUUAAAUGAGUUCAAAUUAUGGAAUAUAGAGGUCCAAAAAGCAUGGCUGUUCAUACUUGUGUUUAUUGACAAAAUGACAUAAGUGACAUUUAAUGGUACCUGUCUUAUGUUAGUUUCUCCUAUAUUUCGCUUCAUUUCAACCAUUUCGACCUCAAGGAUCGGACCUCCUAACAUAAGAAAGUCAGAAUUAUUAAUUACGUGGGGAAUAAUGGUAUCAUUGGCAUAGAUUGUAGAUGUCGCGUUGGUGAAAUCACAAGUCAACAUCCACAUUCGUUGGAAAAUAAAAGUAAUGAGAGUAUUUCCCAAAUUAUAUGAGCGACAUGUCUAUCUCGCAAUUUAAAUGAGUUCAAAUUAUAGAAUAUCGAGGCCUGAAAGGCUCGUGGCUGUUCAUACUUGUAUUUAUCAACAAAACGACACAGGUGACGUCUAACGACACUUAUGUCGUUCUGUUGGUUUCUCUUAUAUUUCACUUUAUUUUCAUCGUGUCGACCUCAAGGAUCGGAUCUCCUAACAUAAGAAAGUCAGAAUUAUUGAUUACGUGACGAAUAAUAGUAUAAUUGACGUAGAUUGUAGAUGUCGCGUUGGUGAAAUCACAAGUCACCAUCCACAUUCGUUGGAAACAAAAGUAACGAGGGUAUCUUCCAAAUUAUGUGAGCGACAUGUCCAUCUCGUGAUUUAAAUGGGUUCAAAUUAUGGAAUAUUGAGGUCCAGAAGCCUCGUGACUGCUCACUCGUGUUUAUCGACAUAACGAUAUUUCGCUUCAUUUCCACCGCGUCAACCUCAACGAUCGAACCUCCUAACAUAAGGAAGUCAGAAUUAUUGAUUAUGUGACGAAUAACGGUAGAAUUGGCAUAGAUUGUAGAUGUCGCGUUGAUGAAAUCACAAGUCACCAUCCACAUUCAUUGCAAAACAAAAGUAAUAGAGUAUCUCCCAACCAAAUUAUGUGAGCAUCAUGUCCAUCUCGCGACUUAGAUGAGUUCAAAUUAUGGAAUAUCAAGGCCAGGAAGGCUCGUGGCUGCUUAUACUCAUAUUUAUCGACGAAACGACACAAGUGACGUUAACGACACCUGUGUCGUUCUAUUGGUUUCUCUUAUAUUUCGCUUCAUUUCGUUUGUGUCGACCUCAAGGAUCGGACCUUCUAACAUAAGAAAGUCAAAAGUAUUGCUUACGUAACGAAUAACGGUAGAAUUGGUAUAGAUUGUAGAUGUCGCAUUGGUGAAAUCACAAAUCACUAUCCGCAUUCAUUGGAAAACAAAAGUAAUGAGUGUAUCUCCCAAAUUAUGUGAGCAUCAUGUCCAUCUCGCAACUGAAAUGAGUUCAAAUUAUGGAAUAUCAAUGUCAGGAAGGCUCGUGACUACUCAUACUUAUGUUUAUCGACAGAACGAUACAAGUGACGUUUAACGGCACCUGUGUCGUCUGUUGGUUUCUCCUAUAUUUCGCUUCAUUUCCACCACAUCGACCUCAAUGAUCAGACUUCCUAACAUAAGAAAGUCAGAAUUAUUGAUUAUGUGACGAAUAACGGUAAAACUGGCAUAGAUUGUAGAUGUCACGUUGAUGAAAUCGCAAGUCAUUAUCCACAUUCGUUGAAAAACAAAAGUAAUUAGAGUAUCUCCUAAAUUAUGUGAGCAUCAUAUCCAUCUCGCGACUGAAAUGAGCUCAAAUUAUAGAAUAUCAAGGCCAGGAAGGCUAGUGGCUGCUCAUACUCGUGUUUAUCGAUAGAACGACACAAGUGAUGUUCUUGUGCCAUUCUGUUUGUUUUUUCUAUAUUUCGCUUCAUUUCCACCGCGUCGACCUCAAGGAUCGGACCUCUUAAUAUAAGAAAGUCAAAAUUAUUGAUUACGUAACGAAAAACGAUAGAACUGGCAUAGAUUGUAGAUAUCGCGUUGAUAAAAUCACAAGUUACCAUCUACAUUCGUUGGAAAACAAAAGUAAUGAAAGUAUCUCUCAAAUUAUAUGAGCAUCAUGUCCAUCUUGCAACUUAAAUGAGUUCAAAUUAUAGAAUAUCAAGGCAUGGAAGGCUCACUGCUGCUCAUACUCGUGCUUAUCGACAGAAACGACACAAGUAACGUUUAAUGACACCUGUGUCAUUCUGUUGAUUUCUCCUAUAUUUCGCUUCAUUUUCAUAGCGUCGACCUCAUGGAUCGGACCUCCUAACAUAAGAAAGUUAGAAUUAUUGAUUACGUGGCGAAUAACGGUAAAAUUGGCAUAGAUUGUAGUGUCAUUUUGUUAAUUUCUUAAAUAUUUUGUUUCUUUUUCCAUGCAACAACAUCAAGCAUUAGAUCUCCUUACUUUAAAAAGUUAGAAAGAUUGAUCAUGAGACAACGAACGGUUGAAUUGAUAUAAAUUAUACGACAUUAAGUUGGUGAAAUCACAAGUUAUUGUAUCGAUUCAUUAGAAAAUAUAAUUAUUGUGCACAUCUCUCAACUUUUGUAAACAGAAUGUUCAUAUUGCAAUUGAAAUGAAUUCAACUUAUUGAUUUUCAAAGCAUGGAUGGGUUGUGACUACGUAUACUCAUCUUUAUAGACAGAAUGACAAAAGUGUCGUUUAACAGCCCUUAUAUCGUUCUAUUAAUUUCACAAACAUUUUGCUUCUUUUUCAAUGCAACAAUCUUAAACAUUAGAUCUCCUAAUUUAAGAAAGUUAGAAAAGUUGAUCAUGAGAAAAAGAGCAGUUGAAUUGACAUAGUUAUACAACAUUGAGUUGGUGAAAAUCACAAGUCUUGUAUUGAUUCGUUAGAAAAUAUAAUCAAUAAGCAUAUUUCUCAACUUUUGUAAAUGAAAUGUUUAUGUUGUAAUUGAAAUAAGUUCAACUUAUUGAUUCUCAGGGCAUGGAUAGGUCAUGGCUACAUAUACUCGUCUUUAUAGACAGAAUGACACAAGUGUUGUUUAACAGCUCUUAUGUCGUUAUAUUGAUUUCAUCAAUAUUUUACUUCUUUUCCAACAUAGCGACCUCAAACAUGGGUCUACUAAUUUAAGAAAGUUAGAAAGGUUGAUCAUGUGACAAAGAACAGUUGAAUUGAUAUAAGUCAUACAAUGUCGAGUUGGUGAAAUCAUAAGUUAUUGUAUUAAUUCGUUAGAAAAUAUAAUUAAUGAGCACAUCUCUCAAAUUUUGUAAAUGGCACAUCCAUCUUGCAGUUGAAAUGAGUUUUGGGUCAUGGAUGAAUCGUGGUUGCCUAUAUUCAUAUUUAUAGAUGGAACGACACAAGUGUCGUUUUCUUUACAAUAAUGGCACAAGUGCUGUUCUCAUGGAAAAAUUAUGUUUAGGCAACGACACUUGUGUCGUUUUUUAAGAACUUUUCAUCUUAGUAAUGACACAAGUGACGUUCUCAAUGACAUUUUCAUCCUCUAAAUGACACUUAUGCUGUUCUCUUAGAACUUUUCAUCUCAGUAUCGAUACAAGUGAUUUUAUUAUUUUCAACAAAAUACAAGUAAUGAAUAUAUCUCUUAAUUUUUUUAAAAUGCCUUAUCCACCUUACAAGUUAAAUGGAUUCAACUUAUUAUUUCACGAGGCGAGGGCGGGUCGUGGUUGCUUAAAAUCGUAAUGAUAAACAGAUCGGCGCAAGUGUCGUUUUAUUAUUAGUAAUGACACAUGAAUUGUUCUUUUGAUUUCUUCUUUAUUUUCAUUUGUUUUCAAUGCAAUGACCUUUAUAUUUGGACGCCCUAAGUUGUGCAGUUCUCAUAGUAAUAAUAGAAGUUUAUAUUUAUGUAUGUCACUUGUGCUGUUCUCUUAGAAUUUUUCGUCUCAAUAACGACACUGAUGCCGUUCUUAGGGACUUUUUAACUACUGUAAUAGCAUUUGUUUCAUUUUCAUGGACAUUUAUAAAUCAAAUAUAGUGAUAGUUGUGCCGUUCUCGUAAACGUUUUCAUCUCGAUAACGAUACAAGUGUCAUUCUUAUAGACAAGUGAUGUUCUCAUCUUAGUAACGGCACAAGUGUCGUUCUCAUGGAUAAGUAAAUUUAUAAUUAUAACAGCAGUUAUGCCAUCAUUAGGAUGCUAGACUUACAAUUAAUGAGCAUAUUUUUCAACUCAUAUUUAUAGAUAGAAGGAUGGAAGGGACGUUUUCAUUUCAAUGACGGCUCUUGUGCCGUUCUGUUGAUUUUUCCUAUAUUUUGAUUUUAUUCCAGUACAAUAAUUUCAUAUAUUGGACCCCCUAAUGAAUCAUAAACAUUUUCAUUUGAGUAAUGAUGUUUGCUCCGUUCUAAUGAAAUUUUGUAACAAACAUGAAAACACUUAUAUCGUUCUCAUCUUUCUCUUAUAACUUCAGUAACAACACUUGUAUCAUUUUCAUGGAUGCUUAUAUUUUUAAUAACGUAACAUAUGUCAUUAUCAUGAAACAACAACAAAUUAGAGAUAGAUGUAUAAUUAAAACGCAAAUAUUUAAUUUAAAAGAUAUUAACAAAAAUGUAGGAAAAAUCAAUAGAAUAGCACAAGUGCCGUUAAAUGACCAUUGUGUCAUUAUGGUGUUGUUUGAGCCCCCUUUUUUUAACAAAUGAAUUUCGUAAUAGUGUUAUGAUGGAGAAUGUAUGGUUAAAAAAUAAGAAAUUUUUUUAAGUUUGUGUGUAAUAUUAUUUUAUUGAAGAAACUUGUGGUUAAAAUGAGAUCAAAUUACUGUUCAAAAAUACAUUUUAAUGUAAAAUGAGGCUCAAACAAAGACUAUACGUGUUAACGCGAGUAAAAGCAGCUACGUCUAAUCUAUAUUCCGCGAACAAAUAGUGGAACUCAUUUACGUUAUCUAUGACAUUGUCAAACUUUCUAUAUUACAUAUGUUAGGGAGUCCAUUAUUAAAUGUUGUUUUGUUAAAAAAAUCGGAUGUUGGCGAAAAUUUCGUAAUGACACUUGUGUCGUUACUGGAUAUGAAAACGAUACUCAUGCUGCUACGUAUAUAAAUAUGAGUAUAAGUAGUCACGGUCCAUUCUUUUCCUGAAAAAUAAUAACUGAAACUUAUUUGUAUUAUAAUAUGUACAUAACGCGUACAAAAAUUGAUAGAUAUGUUUAUUAACUUAAUCGACACAUAUAAAUUUGAUAACUUGUAUUUUCACCAUCUCAACAAUAUAAAAAUUAUAUGUCGUUUCAAUCGUUCUUUGUAACUGGUCAAUAUUUUUGUGUUAUAUAUAUUAGCGAAUCCAUUAUUAGAUUCAUUUCUUUGAAAAAAUUAAAUUACAGCAGAUAACGACUGUAGUAUCGUUUUACUUUACAGAUAAUGGCUGGAGUGGUGUUCUAUAUUUCAAAUAGUAAUUAUAGUGUUAUUACAUCCAAUGGUAGCAAAUAACAAAAAAAACACACUAAAUACGCAAACAAUACCAACUAAAUAUUAUUUAAUACUAUAUUUAAUAAUAAAAAUGCAACAUAGAUUAGAUUUAUAAGAUCAUCUUUCCUCUUUCUUUCUAUGUAAAUGUAUGCUAACCAAACUCUUGUUCAAAUGUGAUUGAAGAGAAGAAAAUAAGUGAAUGUAAUUUUGAAAACUUAAAAUUGAAUAAAAUGAAAAGGGAAAGAAGAUGUUAUCUUCAAAAGAAAAAAAAGAAAUUAGGGUUCUAAAAUGCAUUUGAAGGAAAAAUACAGGGGAAGAAGAUGUUAUCUUCAAAAGAAAAAAAAAAGAAAUUAGGGUUCUAAAAUGCAUUUGAAGGAAAAAUAACGAGGUGAAAUGAGAAAAAUUGGAAAACAUUAAGGCAACAACUAAAGAAAAGUUUUAUCAUUUUGUCAAUUAAAAUAUUUUACAUUAUUUAUUUAUUUUUAUUAUUGAUCAAAGUACAUUUCAUCUAAUACAUUGGCCAAAUGGCCAAAUUCCUCUAUAUGCACACGCCUUUUACGGUGUCUCAGUGGGAGAGAAAUCAAUCUGCAAAUCUGCAAGAAUAGAAUCCGAACGGAAGAGAAAGAACACUUCGAUCUCUUCUACAGAUCGAAGCCACGUUCGCCAUAGCCACAACCUUAAGCACAGUAAUAAGAAAAGGACCAAAAUGUCCUCAUCUUCAUCUGAAAAAGUUAGGGCUUCCCAUAUACUCAUAAAGCAUCAGGGCUCCCGCCGUAAGGCCUCCUGGAAGGAUCCUGAAGGCCGUGUUAUCAGCGCCACCACCCGUGACGAUGCAGUUUCGCAGCUCAAGGACCUACGCGUUGACAUCGUCUCCAGCAAAGCCUCGUUCUCAGAUGUCGCUUCCCGUUACUCCGAUUGCAGCUCCGCCAAGCGUGGCGGGGAUCUGGGUUUGUAGAACUAUACCUCUUUUCUACCGUCAUUGCUGCUGUUUUAUGUUGCUUUGUUUUUUAUGUGACUGGGAUAUAUAUUAAUUGUUAUUACAAUAUCUGAAAUCUAACGCGUCCACUUCCAUUCAAUUGUUGAGUAAACAUAAAGGAAUGACGAAAGGAGAGUAAUAUCGUUGGUACUUAUCUUUACUGAAUUGGUGCUUUUAUUGCCGAAACCGUUGCUAGUUUUGUUUAUAAGGGGAAAUUUAAGGAGGGGGCAGUGUAUUGACUAUUGAUGCAGAUGCUCGUGAUAGGCCCUCCUCCUCCCCCUGAAAACCCCCAAAAAAUGGAGAACCAAAAUACGCGAAGCAUAAAGGGAAAUAAAGAAAAGGUUACAAAGUAAAGUCGUGUUGGGCAAUUUUUUUGCAAGAAUUACCCCCUCCAUGAAAUUUUGCCUAGUCUAAGCAGUCAAAGAAUAUGAUACUUCAGAAGUCAAAUAUAUGUUCUUUAACCAUUCUAAAUUUUAGGAACUAGAGUCCUUGAUCCUUGAUCAACAAAAGCUAAUUUGACCUUAGUCGAUGGAGAGAUGCAGUUUUUCCUUUUUUGUCUACGCAUGAGAAUGUGUAUGUGCCUUGGCCAUUUUUGGUACUUAAAAUUGCCUGGGAUGGAAUAGCAUAUGUCUAUGCAUGAGCAUGUCUGUGUGCUUAGGCCGUUGAUGGUACCUAAAAUUUCGUAGGAUGGAAUUGCCAUUCUCUGAAGUAUUCCACCUAGAAAGUGGUUGGUAUGUUUAUUUCCUUGCCUUUGUGAUGGAAUUCUAAUGAUGUUAGUGGACUUGACUUAAAGCAGACAUUAAUUUUAGGUUUCCUUUUCCCAUUGUGCAUUAAUUUGUUUGAUUAUAGGCAUAAACACAUAGCAGUAGAGACUGCUUAUGUUUUAAAUAAUUAAAACUCCCAUUACCAAAACCCAAUUUCCUUAGUCACCAUAUAUUAAUUUAUGUAAAACAUCAAAAUCAACUUGUAAGCAAUUCAAACAUUAAAGAUUGUUAAUGUUUCACAAAUUCUUCAAUAGAGGAUCAACUUGAAACCUGAAGUUUUGCAAAAUUACUAGUUUCUCAAACAUAAAAAAUUCCUCUAUCUAUCUAAACUACAAUCAUGGUAAUCGAAAUCAAAAUAUUGGGUGGCCCACUAAAAGUUCAGGUGAACUGGACUGCACAGUGGUCAAGUUAUUCUAUUACGAUCUUUUCACAACUGAACCAUUCAAUAUCUGUCAAGCCCAGCUGGUUUAACGAAAAUUGGAUGCCCAGUUCAAUGCCGCUGGUUUGUCGUUGGAAAAGAGACAAGGACAGCUUUUUCAAGUUUCGAUCACAAAAACUUUUGGGCAUUAUGUCAAUCAAGUUACCACUAGACUAGUCCAUCUUAUUGUUUAACAUUCCCACAACAAAUUUUUGUCUAAUUAUUAUCUAAUGACAAAAGGAAAUAAUUAAAAUCUUUGUUAUUAUCUUUAUGAUGGAUAAUAAUGCCUAAAAACUUAGUAUUUGAUUGAUCAAGUGCUAAAAGAGGUUAAGAGAAUGCUGGUUUUUAAUUAUUUUGUUCAUUUUAUAUACAAAAAAAGAAAAUUGUAAACCUAAUAAAUUAAUUGCUCAAUACAUAAGUAUAAUGAAUAUGCAUUAUAAACAAUUCAUUGAAUACAAACUCGUAAAACAACGUAAAAAACCAUGUGUAAUUCAAAAACCAAGUAUUUUUGUCACCUUAUCACAGUAAAGAACUGUGUAUAACCUCUAAAGGAUUAAUGACCUAACCUGUGAAUUAGUUGAGCUAGUGCUGGGCUAGAUGUAGUGAGGGUGGAGAUGGAGAUUUGGCGGCACCAGAUGAUAAUAGAUGGCAUUGGAUGCAAGUGGAAUAGUUAGGUAAGGCUCAAUGACAGAGAUGGGCAGAGAUGAGAUGGAGAUGGAAUAAGAGAGGUGGAGAUGGAGAUGAUGGUGGUAAAUAAUAAAUGGAAUAAGAGUUAGGCUGUGCAAGUGAAGGAAAUUGUGUUGUCAAACUCUUCAAGGAUGGGUUUUUCUCAGUCUAGAUAAGGGGAUGAGGGUUUGAUGAAAUAAGCUAGAUGGUGCUAGCUAGAAAGAUGUUUUCAAUGAGAGUAGGUAUUCCAAGCCUUGUAGUUGCUAAAAGAAAAUAGUAGCUGGAAUGGCCUUCCCAAUAGUAGGUCAUUGCAGCUGCUAAACAGAUUUUAGUUACCAGCCUGUUUGUUUCUCAUUUUCAUAGUAAAAAUGCAUUUUGUAAUAGUGAUUGUUGAAAAAUGUGUGGUUAGAAAAUAAGGAAAAAAUUUAUUUUUGCGUGUAAUAUUAUUUUAUUGAAGAGUGUAUGAUUAAAAAUAAGAGAGAGAGAAAUGUAUUCUGGGAAAAAUGGGUAUCAAACAAGGGCUACAUAAUUUUGUGGUUUCAUAUUGUAAUUUGGUCUGUGACCUUGCAAAUUUGCAUCUGAAGUAGGGCUCUCGUGGGCUUCUCUAGUACAAGAUCAAGCUGGAUGCGAAUUUUUAGCUGUAUGAAUAAGAAGGCUGCCAACCUGCCAUUUCAGCAUUGAGUGUCUGACAUGAAACAGCAGGUCAUGUACUGCUGUACUCAUUUUGGUAUCUAGAUAUCAAAAUUGUGUAAUGUAAAGUAUGGACAUUCCAUCGUUUAGAAGUGCCAACAGUUUCCACUAUACAUUAAUUGCUUUGGUAUUAACAUUUCUCUUAUCUAUGAUAGGAGAUUUACACUCGGAAUAGGUUUUAAUACAUCGAAUAUAACAAUCAUGAUGCUAUCUCUAAAAAUAUGAACGCCCCAACUGUAAUCGCUAACAACUUUAACACUUUGCGUUCUGGUAGUAUAUAGGAAGGAACUGAACUUGUCAUUUCGACAAAUUUCUUGCAACUUGGGUGUUGAGAUUUUUGGCUCAUUCAACCCCCCAGCACACCCCAAAAAAAAAAAAAAAAGGAAAAAGAAGAAAAGCACAUAAAAUGUAAAGGAUUAUGCUACUUGUAUAUAAGGGAUUACAUAAAAUGACAUGGAGGGAAAAGAUUGGAUGAAAAAGUUGACAGUAUUUUAAAUUGACAAAUGAUAGAGUGACAUAUGACAUUAUGUAAAGAGUGAUAUACAUGUAAUAAAGUCCAAAUAUAAAAGCAAAAUUUAUAACAAGAAGAGAAAAUCCUGUACUUAAAGUUAAUCUCUUAUAAGCAACAAAAAUACUUUUCGGACAGUGUAUGACAUAUCCCUUUGGCCACCUAAUCACGUUGUCUAUAAUUUCAUCAAACUGAUCAAUCCAUGAGAACCCUACCAUUUGUUCUAUCUUUUAACCUAAUCAUCCAUUUAUCACGCUACAACCUUCAAAUUCAGGGGGUUUGAGGGUGUUUAGUGUCCAGUUGAAGGACAACCCUACCCAUUUUUUUGUUGGACUGGGGGGUGGGAGAUUGAUGUGAUGAAAUCUCUCGACUUUUUGUUAAAAGAGGGAAAACUAGGGCAAAAUGGUUAAAUGAGAUGGUGGUUGUUUUUUAUAUGUAUUUCUGGGGAGAAUAUGCCACAAAGCCCAAUUACCUACCACCAAUGUGGAAGGUGGCAUGCAGACUGAGAUGCUCCUGCAUGAGACUGAUAUGUCCACCUGAUUAGGGAGGUGGGUUAGGUGCAAUGGAUUGAAAUUGUAUUCACGUUUGAGAAGCCUUGGAACACUCGACUUUCAUGAAAGUAUAAUAAAGAAUGGAAGUAUAUCCCCCUGUCCAUUCCUCCUCUGUUAGUUGUGAUAAGGAUCCUGUGACAUCGGAAUAUCUAUUAAAAUAUUUUACCUUUUUUGAAUAGCUGCCAUAUUUUCUUGUUGGAGCUGACGGAGUUCAAAAACUUAUGCGUUCCAGUAUUGCUGUAUCUGUCACAUUACAAAAGAUUCACAAAAUCUGUGCCUACUCCUGUGUAUGCAAUCCUGUGAUAUGCCAAUUUUUGUAUUGAUGGACAUACGAGAACAGUCUGUUUACUGACGUGAAAGUUUCGCAUUGAAUUAUAACUAUUUAUAAACAUCUUGCUACAUUAACUAAGAGAUGAUUUUUAUCUUAUCCAACUUCUGAGAAUCUAUAAUGCAUGCAGGUUCAUUUGGCAGGGGUCAGAUGCAGAAGCCUUUUGAAGAAGCAACAUAUGCACUGAAGGUUGGGGAGAUAAGUGACAUUGUGGACACUGAUAGUGGAGUUCACAUCAUCAUGAGAACUGGUUGAUUUAUGGCAUAGUAAAAAUUGUGACUUCCACAAGGAUUAAUUUGACACAGUGAUGAAAACAUAAUUGCAAUAUUGAUGGUUGAUCCAUGUUUAAUCUGGAAUUCAUGUGGGGUUUGAUAUGCUAUCUGAUUUCCAUAUCAUCUUCGUGGCUUGAGCGUGCUUAUCUGGUUUGUUUGGCUUGAUAUUAUGCAAAAAUUGGCAAUGAAUAAACAUUCAGCUUUGUAAUGGCAAAUGAAGUGAUGACUAUGUCAAGUUAGAUAUUUAAUUUAUUUUGAACUUGAUGCUUUACCUGAUAACUUGUAAUUUCACAAAAGUGAGCCUUGCAUAUGUGACACUUGUAUGCUGGUAUCCACGCUAAGAAGANNNNNNNNNNNNNNNNNNNNNNNNNNNNNNNNNNNNNNNNNNNNNNNNNNNNNNNNNNNNNNNNNNNNNNNNNNNNNNNNNNNNNNNNNNNNNNNNNNNNNNNNNNNNNNNNNNNNNNNNNNNNNNNNNNNNNNNNNNNNNNNNNNNNNNNNNNNNNNNNNNNNNNNNNNNAAGGCUUUUGACGAGUGCAUGCUAAUCUUUCAGGAAAUGAGGGAUUAAGGGUGUAAGUUUUCUAGAAUCUAGAUGGUCGAAUUUGGUUAUGCUUUUGCUUUUCAAGAAUCUCAAAUUUGGCCCUAGGAAAUUAUACCAACACUUUUUGUUUUUCUUUAUUAUUUUGUUAACAUGAGAAACUUUUGAACAUCAUCUUUGAUCAAGAAUCUCCAAUUAUCCUUGGGAUUCCACCGAGUGAAAAUUUAACCACCCAAAAAUAUUAUGCUUGUGUUGAAGUAGGAAAUCUUGAAUUUUAAUGAUAAUAACUAAUGGUGAAAUUUUCACAAAUUUCAGAGAUGCAUGAUGGAAGUUGGUUUUGCAUUGAUUUGUUUCAUUUGAUCAUUCCGUAAGUUUGGAGAAGAUGGAUGGAUGUUAAAUGUAAUAAAUAUUAUUGAAUAUGUGGUUGGUCCGUAUAGAAGUCAAAGAGAAGGGUCUCUAUUUAUUGGACAAAACCUUAUGUAAGGACUAUUAACUUAAAAAUAUAAUAUGUUCAUCUCAAUCUCAAUGUCAAAUUGUCAAUCUCAAUCUCAAUCACGAGUGUUAGUGAUUGGGCCUUGAAAUUGAAAUGUGAGAUGGAAUCUAAUGAAAUGUAAUCUCAUGACCGAUAUGAAGCAUCAUUUUGGGUAUUUGUAUUAAUCUAAGGCCUUGAUAAGGAAGGAAAGGACAUAAUUACUUGCACAUCUACUAUGUCAUUGAAAUAAAUAAAUCAGUCAGUCUAGGUAAUUACACAAAUUGAGAGUCGGUAGUAAUUAUGAGAAUUAAUUUUUUGAUCGUUAAAGAGAAAAGUGGAUCCCUGUAAGUGAAGAAGUAAAAAAUGAUCGUUGGAAUAGUAAAAUAAUUGUCAAAAAAAUCAAUUUUUUAAGGUAAAAAAUUGCUAUCAAACAGGAGUUGAUUUCGGUUUGAAUUCACAUCUAUCUUUUUUUGUGUCCUUGAGGUUUUGUUUUGAACUUGAAGCAAACAAGAUCAACAGUUUGAGAGUACAUUAGUCCACAAAGAUCAAGUCAUUUCAACAGUAGAAAAGUCUCUAGCUAAUGCAUCUCACUUCUGGUCUCCAAAAAUCCAUUUGCAUGAAUUAACCAUUUGAGUGAGGGCACGUUUGUAUUUAAUCCUAUCUAAUUAUUAUCUUGCAUUUGGCGCGAUUGGAUAUAUAUCUUAUUAUAUAUUCACCAUUUUAUGGGGGAAAAAACAUUAGUUAAAUUGAAUUACAUAAAUUUACUUAUAAAAAAUAAGAACUCAAAAUUUUACUUACAAGUUAAAACAAAAUGACUUGCAACUAAAAAAAUCAAUUGUAAGCAAAAAUUCAUAUAAAUGUAAAAAGUCACCAAUGGGUAAAAACUUACGUAUAAGAAAAAAAUUGCAUGAGUAAUCAUUCACUAAUAAAAAUUAUAUAUAAUUUUACAAUUUACAUAUGAGUAAAAAAAUUACUCCUGAGUUAACAAAUAACUUACGUUUACCUAAAAAGAUCACUCGCAAGGAAAAAUAAACUAAUACGUAAAUUUUACUUAUUAUUAAAAAAAUCACUUCUUAGUAAAAAAUUACUUUUGAGUGAAUUACGUAUAAGAAAAUUUAUCUAUAAAUAAAAUAAAAAAAAUAUUGUAACAAUUUAUUGGCCUUAUUUUUCAUAGAAAUUUAAAAUUUUCUAUCCAAUUUAUCUAUAAAAAAAAUGAUUCACCUUAUUUUUCAUAGAAAUUGUUAAUUUUCUGUCCAAAUUCCUACUUUGGAGGUGUUUUAUUGAUAUUUUUUUUUUCCAUAAAAACUAUUUUCCAACUUUUGGUCACGUGACCAUAUUUUCCUGAAAAAUAGAUAAAAUAAUGAUGAGGCGAAUGUUUGUCAUUGGGUUGAGUUAUGACUCUUGUGGGGCUUAUUGAGGGUAAACCUAGUUAUAGCAUGAACAUCUGUUUGUAAUUCUUUCUAUCUAUGUAUGAUUGCUUGAUUAUAUUGCAUUGUUAUAUAUUACACUUUCAAUCUAUUUAAUGUGUGUUAAUUGAAAGUGAUCUUAGUACUUUGUAUAAUUUGUUUGCGUGAAUAGUUGGCUAAGAUAUAUGGCAUGUUCCUUUUGCUCCGUGAGUGGUAUUAGAAGGUAUGGUAGUGAGAAAAAGAGAGGUUGUUGUUUUCUCCUUUAUCUUUGUGAGUUUGUGUGGUAUGUGAGAUUAUAUGGAGUAAUUAUGUGUGGGUGUUAUCCUCUUUUUGUUUGUAAGCAUAUUUUGCGAGUGUAGUGAAGUAACAAACUCUUUCUUCUAGGAUUAAUAGUAGAAACCCACUUAGAAACAUUUUCAUAUGCGAUAUACGCCCUAUCUAUUGAAAAUCGUAGAAAACCUCCCUAUUUGAAACCUUUUAUGCGAAAAACUCUCAUGCUAUCAACAUUUGUCAGAUUUGUCGUUUAAAACAAUAAAAAAUUCCAACAUUAAAAUGGAAUAAUUGUAAUUUCGAUAUCCAAACUUUUUGCCUUUUUACAAAUUAAAUCCAAAAUUUUUAUGUGUCAGCUACAAUUCCAAAUCUUUGGAACUUUAUUUUGCUUUUUCCCCAAAAAAUUCAACUGAGACUUCACUCAAAUUAAAAUUAAAAGUGAUAAAAUGAUAACUUUAAAAUUACCACAUUAAAUAAAUCAAUAAAUAAAACCAAAAAACAUAAGGAAAAAAUAAAAAAGGGUUCUCUCCUUCAAAAGCCAUCCCCAUCCCCAUCCCCAUCCCCACUUCAUAAAAGAUUAAAAGAUAAAGAAUCGAUGCAAAAAGGAAAAAAAAUGAAAAACUCGUUUAGAAGAAAAUUAUUUGAAUUUAGGUUUGAUGUACUUAUCAAAAAUGGAGGAAGAUCAAGUUUGUUGAAAUUAGUUCCAAAAGUAAGUUUUUAUUAAGAGCAUGUUCAUUAGUGAUUAUGAAAAUUGAUUUUUUAAUUAUUAGAGAGAAAAGUGGAUCUCACUUGUGUGAGUGAAGAAGUAAAAAAUGACAGCUAAAAUAGUAAAAUAACGAUCAAAAAAUUGAUUUUUUUGGUGAAAAAUUGUUACGAAACGGGGUCUAAGCAUGUCUGUAGUGCCGACAUAACUUUUGGCACCACCGUUGCGGGAAAGCACCAAACCACCAACUUCUCCUUACCCAUCAAAACCACCUAGGUCGUCGACCCAGCCUUGCUCCACUUCGUCGUUGUCGUCCUUCCACCCCUUCUUUUCCAUCCAAAAUCACCUAUGCAGUGUCCAAAUAUUUGAAAUUAAUCGUUGCUUAGCUUUAUAAAAGCGAUUUGAGAAUUAAGGUAUUUUCCACUUUUCCAUAUUUUCAAAAUUUUUGUGAUAUUUCUUUGAAAAUGAUAUUACGCCAAGCUUUCAUUUUGCCAACGUCCGUCCAGGUAUUCAGUUUCUGCAUUAUUUUAUCAGAAGAUUUUGAACCUACAUCGAGCUUGUGUAUUUCCUUCAAAUCGAACUUUAGUUCGGGCUACAAUUUUUCAAAAGAAUUUGGUACGUCCUAGAGGUGACUCGAAAGAGUUUUUUUUUUAGAAUUUUUUCAUAGAGUUGCAUUUUUGGCUUAGGAUUUUCUCUUUCUAUAAAAAAUUUGAGAUUAAAAUUCUUUUGAGUUUGCCUAUGAGUUUUCUCAGCUCAUCGAAACUUGAGAUAUUUUAGUCGAUCAUCUCCAAAUAAUUCACCUUGGAAGAGUUUUUGGAAAAAAUUUGUUAACUUCAGAAACAUAAAAUGAUUAAACUAAUUUGUAUUUUUGGGUAAGAAGAUGAAGUGGAAGAUUUGAGAUCGUAGGUGACACAUAAAAAAUUUAGAGCUCAUUUGGUAACUAUUUUCUUCAAAAUGCAUUUCUCUCUCUCUCUUUUUCAAUAACACAUUCUUUAUUAAAAUAAUAUUACACGUAAAUAAUUUUUUUUUUUAAUUUUUCAAUCACACAUUUCACAUCAAUUUAUUAUUCUAAAAUGCAUUUUUACAUAAAAAUGCCUAAACACCCCCUUAGAUUUAAUUUGUAAAAGAAUAAAAAUGCUUGGUUACUGAAAUUGCAAUUAUUUCUAAUUUUGGCAUUUUUUAUUGGUUUUAACGAUAAAUUUGACGAAUCUUGAUAGCAUUGGGUUUUUCCCACAAAAGAUUUCAAACAAGGGGAUUUUCCUUGAUUUUCAAUAUAAGUAGGGGAUAUGUCGCACAUGAAAAUGUUUCUAGGGAUGUUUUCUACUACUAAUUCUUUCUUCUAUUUUCUUUGUGAGUGUCACCAUCACUAUUCGUUUUAAUUUUUAUGGGAUAAAUCCUUUGUGGACCUCUUAAGCUUUGAUCUUGGAGUAAUCUUGUGGUGAGUGUGUCGAUUUAAAUUGUGUCCUAAGAGCAUUUUCAAGAGGCUCUCUAUUUUUAAAGAACAUAUUAUAUUAUUUGGAAAGCAUUUAUAAAUUCAGAGAGUUCAAAUUUUGAAACAUUCCAACAAUCUCUUUAUAUUUAAUACUUAAUUUUACUACUCAUAAAAAAUAUUUAUUAUUUUUCUUUAUAUUUUAUUUCAACUAGUUUUUUCUAAAUUAUUUUUUUAUUUUCCUAUAUUGACAUUUGUAGCACUUUGAAUACAUUUAAAUAUAGAGAGUAAGUUUGACUCUCCAAAUUUCACUCUCUAAAUCAAAAUGUUAAUUUAAAGAACCUCUUGGAACAUAAUUUUAAUGGUUGACUCUAGUGUUCAUAUUUAAACAGUCUUUUGAAAACCCUUUGUGAUCGUCAAAGGUGUCGAUUUGUCAAUGGAUUUACGAUGUGUUAGCAGUACGUGUGUUGUGCGUCUUUUGAUUAUGUGGAUUAGAUGUUUAAGGUUGUGUUGGUGAUAUGCGCAAGCAAUGUGGAGAAUGACAUUUGGAUCAUGAGUACAAAGGUGAUCAAAUGUCUGAUUUAUAUAUUAAGACUCUGAUCAGGUGGAGUAUGAAAGUGAAACUUCUAUCACUUCUGUUAAGUGAAAACCUAUUAUCCACUUAGGUUGAGAGAAGUGAGGUGGUUAUAGAUGAUUAUCCGGUAGACAUAAGAUCUAUUGUGGUUUACCAAUUAGAUAUAUGUUAGUAACUAGUCUAGUAAACAUGGUGGACAUGUUGUGCUCUCGAGGUACGAGUAACAAGGAAUGGAUAGAAUAAGUGUGGUGAGAUCUCUCUGUGGGACCUGCGAGAGCCCUCUAUUUUACCAAAAUACCCCUUUCUUUUGAUCUCUCCCCAUACCAAGGGCUUUUUUAAAGGAAGGGAUUUCUUCAUCGUGACACUCGCCCAACCGGGGCUCCCCCUAUCUAAUAAGGUAAGUUGCCCCUGCCAAUAAAAUCCAAAUUUGCAGGCACACCUCCCUAUGUGUCUGUCGCUUUAUCUCUACCAUAUAUGCAUUUGUUGCACAUGUGUUGGCUGUUUGAUUGAUUAACUUGGUUUUAGUUCGAUGUUCUUUGUGAACAUGUUUAAAAAGAUCCGUGUGUUAUCUCAUGUUAUAUCUCCAUCACAUGCUGUAUAUGCAUUUAAUUGAUUACUGUGAUUACUUGUUCUUGCUUGAGUAUUUUUUAUCUAAACUCUGAUAAGUAUACAGAGCAAAUAUUAUGUAAAACAUGAGUUAAGAUAUGUGAUUCCAAUUUUAUUAAUUAUUUGUUGAUUGAAUAUCAAAGUAAAAAUUUGUUGAGUUUAAUGCUGCUCACGAUCCAUAUAUUUACCUUUUGGAUGAAUCUUGCGUCCUAGCCCAUCCGUCUCGGAGCCCAAUUAGAGUUUUAACUUAUUCUCUCUCACACACACACAUGUUGCUUGCUCUAGCCACUUUUUUGGAGUGUGUGACUGGUUGGGGGCGAGGGAGUUAAAAAAUAAAAGGCUGAGAAUAGAAAAAACAGUUUGCUUUGUGCUCCAAAACCAUUAACCAUUCUUGGGUAAUGCUAUGUGUAAAAAAAAGAUUGGCAAAACAUAAAUAAACAAAAUCUAUAUUACUUAUUGCAAAACCAAAUUUUGAAAUCAGAACAAAUCAACGACCUAAAUCUUACCAACACUUAUUUUGUCAACAAAUUUUAUCUACCUACUUCGUACAAGUAGAUUAAUUGACUGUUCUUUAUUUUGAUCAUUUUUAAACAUUGCUUCAUUGAUUUUCUUCUUGUCUUUAUGAUUGUAAAUCAUCACAAAUAAAUGAAAUUGAAAAGCAACCAAAAUGAAUAUAUUUAUGAAAAACCCUUGUGGUACAUAAGGGUUGGUACACAAUGGUGUCCAGUACCACACCCUUAUGUACCCAUAAACCAACCCUAUAUUUAUUGUGGGUCUACGCCAUUUUGAUUGAUUGUUCGGUAAACAAAAGUAAUCAUUGAUUCAAAGAUCUCAAAAUGAACUUCCGCAAAUUUAAUCAAAAAAUACAUUAACUCCUAUCACCAACUCAUUCUUUGAAGGGGUAUAAACUGAUAUAAACAAUCAAUAUUAAUCUUUUUUUUUUAUCAUAUUAAAUUAAAAAUGAUAAAAACUGAUUUCAACGUAAGGAAGUUUAUUCAUUAGAAACUUCGUUUGUGAUGCAACAAAAACCAACUACUACUAAUACUAUUCUAUUCACACACAAUAUUCACAUAAAAACACACCCAUUUAUUUAGGCAACCCCCCUCUUAGCCCUCUUAGGCUUAAUACUCUUUGGCUGCUUAGGCUUUGCUGUACUCGCCUUCUUCGCCUUCUUCACCCCUUCAGUUUUCUUGGCCUUAACCGUAGCAGAUGUUUUCGGCUUCCUUACUGCUUCCUUCUUAGCGGGUUUAGCCUCACUUAACUUGUAUGAAGCCUUGAUUUUUAUCAGUUUUCCUUUUUCUGCAGAGUUCUUCAAUUGGAGACCCAAAAUCUUCCUAAAAUUUGCAGGAAGCACUGCCUUGUGCUUGUCUUCCAUGUACUUUGCAAUUGCAUAUGGACUCGAUCCACUCUUCUCAUUCAGUGCCACCAAAGCCUCCUUAAUCAUCUGCAAAAUUCAUAUCCCAUUUUUCACAAUUUCAAUUCAUUAGAAGUCACAGAAACUAUAAUCUAUUUCAGAAAGACAUACAAAUAAGUUAUACCUCAAAGUAAGGAGGAUGGGAGGCAUUUUUUGUAGCUUUAGGCUUUUUCUCCUUAGGGACCUUCGGUUUCUUCUCUUUGACAGUUUUCUCCUCCGCUGGCUGCGGCUGUUCCUCGGCGAGAUUCUUUUCUACUGUAGCCGACAUCACGAAAACUCACAAAUGAAACUCUAGAGAAUUCUAAUGA